Molecule: long non-coding RNA, 83885 nt
Filed under: Sorghum bicolor (sorghum)
Lineage: Eukaryota; Viridiplantae; Streptophyta; Magnoliopsida; Poales; Poaceae
Description: long non-coding RNA (SBIC_LNC003838)
Source: RNAcentral
CCAAGACAUAAACCGUCUCUUGAUGAGGCUGAACGCUGAAGCACGCUUACCGGUCCCCAGCUGAACAACGCAGGUAGCUGCACACAAGUACAGGCGUACAUUUUAGUCCAAGGAAACUCGGGCUCAGCACACGAGAAAACGACCAACACAAAAUCGCCGGGGCCGUGCGCCUUCCUCGCGCGCGCGGCGACGGGGACUCGUGGGCGCCGGGGCGCCGGUUGGCCAUCGUGCACCCCUGCCUCACGGCACCCUCGCCCGCACACGUAAAAUUCCCGCGCGCUCGCUUCGGCUCUCAGCCUCCUCAGAGCUCAGACCCACGCUCCCACUCCACGCAAUGACGCAACCAAAUUAAAAAAAGCCCGCACCCAGGUUUACACCGCGCGCGCCGCGCGGCGGCAACGCGACACAAAACCCGACGAAGCCAAACCGAGCAAGCAAAGCAAGCAUCCGACCAACCCCCGGGCGCGCGACGCGAGCAACGGAAUGGUGUUCAGCGCCUCGUUCGUGGCGGCGGCGGCGCGCGUGCCGGCGGAGCUGUGCCAGCGGCCGCCGCGCCCGGGGCGGCGGCGGGUGAGCGCGGACGACGUCCUGCGCGCGCUGUUCCUGCCGCCGGCGCGGGAGCUCGGGCGCCUCGGGGACUUCCUCUUCGCCUUCUUCUGCCUGCCGCUGCCGGAGUACUACCUGACGGGGUCCGGCCGCGGCGGCGGGUGGGUGGCGCGGGCGCCCGACGCGGUGCUGUACACCUACCGGAGGUCUCUCUCGGUCAGCUCGUCGUCGUCCUCAUCCUUCUCGUCGUCGAUGUCUUCGUCGGAGGAGGAUUGAUUGCUGACGAGGAAUAAUAAUAAUCUGUAUAGGUUGCGGAAUGCAACGGCAGGGUUCGUGUUUGUUUGUGUAGUAGGAGAAUCAUUAGGUGUGACUUGUACGCCCAAUUCUUUUGUGACCUCUUUACCCAAAAAAAAAAAAAUCUUUUGUGACCUCUGCGUAUAUAUCCAAUGAUUUGAUAUAGAUAAAUGUUCAGUUUUUCUUGUGAGCUGCAAAAUCUAAAUGAUUCUCUUCGCAGUACUUUACCAUUUUUAGAGGAAGCAAUUGCUUACUUCUACUUUUCAUAAUGUAUAUAUCAACUUUUGUAAUGUGAUUUUUUUUAAGAAAAAGUCUACUUUUCCUCCUACUUUCACGAAAGUCCGUUUUUCCUUCAUCAACUCCAAAACCGGGCAAAUCACCCCCAUCAACUUUUCAAACCGUGUAUUUUACCUCCUUGGAGCGGUUUCGAAAGUAGUUUUGCUACAGUGAAUAGAGGUUUGUUGCAGAAACUGUGGUUUUGUCUUUUUUUUAAUUAUUUCGGCUAAAUUUUUGAAAAAUCAUGCAAUAACAGUGGUUUUGUAUUUUUUUAAUUAUUUCGGCUAAAUUUUUGAAAAAUCAUAGUAAAUCAUAAGAAAAUCAUAAAAAUAGAAAAUCCAAUUUUUUGGACUCUACAUAAGUAGAUCUACAUAGUAAACAUAUAAUAUGGUAUGCUUUAGUACAAAGUUUUUGCUAUAAAGGUUUUGUCCUUCUCUUUCUUUUAUUUAUUUGGCUGAAUCUUGGAAAAAUAAUAGUAAAUCAUAGAAAAAUCAUAAAAUAAAAAAAAAAUAUAAUUUUCUUAGUCUCCAUAUAAGUAUAUAUACAUAAUUAACAUAUAAUAUGUGUAUGUGUUAGUCCGACAAAAUAAUUGUAGAAGGUGCAACUAUGAAUUAUUUCAAUUAGUUACAUAAAAGCAUUGAUCUAAAACUACAUAAAAAAUACUAAAGCAUACCAUAUUAUAUAUUCACUGUGUAGAUAUGCCCGUGUGGAGUCUAACAAAAUUAUAUUUUAUAUUUAUGAUUUUAUUCUGUAAUUUACUAUGAUUUUUCAAAUAUUUAGCUGAAAUAAUAAAAAAGAAAAAGACAAAACCUUCUUUGUACUAAAGCAUACUAUAUUAUAGUUCAUUGUGUAGAUCUACUUAUGUGGAGUCCAACAAAAUCAGAUUUUCUAUUUUAUGAUUUUUUUCUAUGAUUUACUAUGAUUUUUUUAAAGAUUCAGCCGAAAUAAUUAAAAAGGAAAAAACAAAAUCACCAUCAUUGUAGCAAAACCACCAUCACUGUAGUAAAACCGCCUUCGAAACUGCUCCACGGAGGUAAAAUGCACGGUUUGAAAAGUUGAGGAGGUGAUUUGCCCGGUUUUGAAGUUAAGGGAGGAAAAACGAACUUUCGUAAAAGUUGGAGCAGCAAAAGUAGAUUUUUUUUUUGUUUUUGUUUUUAUGAGCAAUCUGGACAAAUUGUUGCAUGUUCAAAGGCCCCCAUGCUUGUACUUUGUAGAGGCCCAGCGAUAACUAAAAUGGGCCUCAGACAAUCUCAGCCUAGCCCAGUUCGGUCCACGCGCUAACCCGCCGUGUCGGACGAGACGAGCAGUUAGCCAGUUACGACGACGCGGCACGCGAACACUCCCGCGAAAAGCGAGACUGAAUCCACCACAGAUGCAUCACCACCGUCCACUUCCACCAUCCGGCCAAAUCAAACGGUUACCGCGAACGUCACGCUCCAAAACGAAUAAAAAAUGCCAGAGCUGAAAACCAACACGUCAACCUCCCCCGUCUCGAAGCAACCCCACCUUCUCUUCUUUUUUCCGCCUUCCUUUCCCCGUGCAACAAACGCAAACGCGAACGCGACCCAACGAAUCGAAUCAAAUUCGCCGUCCACCUCGUCGGCGUCGGCGCCACCGGCCUCGAGCCCAAGCCCCCGUCGUCCGAUCAGGCAGCCGAGAUGCAGCACGGGAGCGGCGACUACGCGUCCUCCGCCCCCUCCGGCCACUACUACCAGCACCAGUACGCGCCCCCCGGCUCCAACCCCUAUCCAGCCGCCACCGACGCCCCGGCGCCGGGUGCAGUGGCGGGGGGCUACGCCUCCGCACCGCCCUACUCUCUCGGCGGCGGCUACCCCGACCAGCCGCCCUCCGCCCCGGCCUACUCGCAACCACCCUCCGCCCCGGCUUACUCGCAGCCGCCGCCCCAGCCCCAGCACGGCGCCGGGUACACGCCUUACAACACCAACCCCACGACCUACCCGCCGGAGGCGUAUUACUCCUACACGCCGCCGCCCACCCAGACCACGGCCCCGCCGCCUGCGGAGCCCAACCCCGUGCCGCUGCCCUACGACGCCCCGUACUACGGGGGCGGGUACCAGCCGCCGGCCACGGGGUACGACAACGAGGAUUACCUGAACGAGGGCGCGUACGCGUACAGCGGCGGCCGUGGCUCGGAGCCGUACGGGGCGCGCGGCACGGCCCCUGCGCGGUCGGGAUCGGCGCUGUUUGAUGACUAUGGGCGGUCGAUCAGUGCCCCAUCUGAUGACUAUGGGCGAUCGAUCAGUGCCCAAUCUGGAUGGGAGGAGCAAUCGUGGGGCAGUGGUGGUGGUGGCGGAGGGGGUGGGAGCUAUGGGGUGAUCGCAAAGGCCCUUCCUAAGGCGGAAACACAUGAGGAUGCGAGUGGUGGUGCACAGAAGUUUCGGGUUAAGCUGCUGCCAGAGGGUGUUGGGAACCCUACUGAUGUGCUUUGCCAGGUAUAUAGUGAUAAUAAGCUUGAUGAAAUUAUGCAUCAUUGGCAACAUUUGUUUGAAGACUGGGAGGUCUUAUGAUAUUAUUCUAGGAUUCACUAAUUUUCCUUGGGAAUUCCUGUAACUCCUUGAACCCACAUCUAGUAUUUGUUGUUUAGGACAAAUAAAAGCAACUGUCAUUUUGGUAUAUGAAAUGUCUUGAUGGUGGUGUUGCAGAUUGGUCUAGAUGGAAUUCGCAUGCUUGAUCCGAGUACAGGCAGGACCCUAAGGAUUUAUCCACUCGAUUCACUGACAAGAUGGGAGGUGAGUUGGCCAACUUGUUCUUAUGAAGACUAUAUCUGUAUCUUUGUACAACACAAAUUCGUUACAGUUUUUAUAUUUAUGUUUGUUUGUCCUGCUUAUUUAGGUUUUGGAUGCAUCUAUAUUUGCAUUCUGGGCGAAGACAUCAGUGGAUGUUGAACCAAAGAGAAUUAGGCUGAAGUCAAGCAGUUAUACUUCCAAUACUAUGCUUGACACUGUGACAGCAGCAACAGUGCAGGUAUUGCAGCAACACUGCUUUUCCUGACCCUGAUAGUAUUUAGCCUCAUAUUUUCUACUAGCAAGAUGCUUCUGUGAUGAUGCCUUAGUUCCUUUAUAUAUACAUCCUUUUGCUUCCGGUCUUAUUUGUCUUUGAUGUGGCUUCGUAUCUGAACUAAAUCUGUAAUGAGAAGCCAGAAGAUUUAAUCCUAUCUGCUAGCAUGCAUCAGUUUUAAGAUGGAACUUCAUCUAGUCCAACAUGUUUAUCAUCAUGACAUAUAUACUAAGGAGAUCAUAUCUUUUUUUUUACAUGGUUUACCCCUAUUGAUUAUGGAUUGUAUAAACUUAUAUCUCAUCAAUACGAGAAGUAAUCAAUAGGAACAGUAGUUAGAGUAGAAAACAAAACAUAAAUAGUUUCCAAAUAAACUUCUAUAAAGCUGGAGGUUGUUACAAUAAAAUUUUAUUCCAGUUUUCCACAUUGCUAAAUGAGACGUAACACAUAACCUGUAAAAUAGCAUGUUGUUCUUUAUUGUUUUGUUUGCAUUUUAAAUUUCUUCUAUCCCAAUGUUCGCUCUGUAUGAACCACAUUCUUUUUUAUUUCAUAAAAAGGAUGCAAAUUGGAUAACUUGGAUAUCAGAUGGGAUUUUAAUCUUUUUUUUCUAUAGAAAUGGUCCUGUUUUUUAUUAUGUAAUUUUCAGCACAAAUGUAGGCUGCAGAAAACUUUAAAUUGUUUUCCUGGUGGUCUAUUUUAUUCAGUGGAUUAUUUAUUCACGCAAUGCUUUAAGCAAUUUUGCCUUUCGAUGAAUUGAGCAGUGCUUCUUAACUUUGUGCUUCCAUAUAAUUAGUUUAAGGAGAUAGGUGGAGAUGCAAGAAGCAAAGGAGCAGUGGAAACUGGCAAGCCUUCAGUACAAUCAAAUGAGAAAAAGAAAGGUUUUGAUUGGAUGUUUACAAAACCUGUUGAUGAAGUGAAAGACCAUUGGGUAUGCUGAGCCUGAGCGACUACUUUCAAUAUUCUUGGAACCAUUUUGGUUUAAGCUAAUUCAUCACUUAUAUUGUUUGCAUGUUAUUUUUUAUAAGAAUGUCUGCUUCCCUGCUACUGCUACAUGCAUAUAGGUGGCUAUCUGUAUUUUCUAACAUUUCAUUGAACAUUUUGUCAUCUCAUGUUUGUGCUUCAGUUGUAUUAAUUGUAUGUUAAUAUGCCAGAUUGCCAGUGUUAUUGAUCUUAUUCCAAGUUCUUGACAAUAUUUGUUAUAUUGUAUCAAUAUAUCACCCUUUCUAAUCUUAUGAUUUUUUUCUUCACUUGUAAUUUUGUUAAGUUUCUGCAAUACAUUUAAUUUUGUACCUUAUAGGUCCCAGAUGAGGUUGCCAAGAAGUGUCACUCGUGCGCCGUUGAUUUUAGCCCUUUCAAUCGCAGGGUAAUCUAUAUAGCAUAUUUGUCCACAAAUUCAUUCUCUCUUAUGGUAAAAUUCUAAUGCCUUGAGAUGGUUCCUUUCUCACAGCAUCAUUGUCGGAACUGUGGUGAAAUCUUUUGUGAUAAAUGCAGUCAGGGAAGAAUUGCUCUGACAGCUGAGGAUAAUGCUCCACUUGUCAGAGUUUGUGAUAGAUGCAUGGUAUGUUCUACUACUCGAUUGUUACUCACAAUUUCUUUAUUUUUACAAUGAUUGGAAUUACUUUGCUUCAAUGUUUGUUUUAUACCGUUAGCUCUUUGCUUCAACUCCAAUUUUAUGGGCACCAGCAUUGUUAGAAUAGAUUACCCAGUAGUUGUUAGUUCAGUCAUCACUUCUUCGUUGCUAGCUGUUUGGAACCAGUAUUACACUGUUAUAUAUGUAGCGUGUCUUGCUUAUUUGUUUCAUAAUGUUACUUCAGAGUGGGCCCACCCUAUAUAGCUAAGUUAUUUGGUUAUUGCUGUUCUCUGCCUAAUUAUUACUAAAUAAUUGUUGUUUGAGAAUGUAUUUCUGUAUUGUUAGUAUUGACUUAAAUUUAUCUUGGCUAUAUUUAUAUUUAUGGUGUUAACCAACCUGUAUGUUUUAUUUUUAUUCUUGCUUUGGUACUUUUAAGUUCUGUUUUAUUAAGUUUCUAGCUGCAUGAAAUGGUUCAGGAGUUUCUGAUAGGUUUAUAUGGAAACUAUGAUUUUCCGUUGGUGAAGUUUCUAUGCCAUGUGUUCAUAGUAGUUUUUAUGUUGUACAGGCCGAGGUCACUCAAAGGCUUAGCAUUGCUAAGGAAGCUGCCAACAGAUCUGCAACUGUGCAAAGUCAUGAAGAUCUUGCAAGAAAACUGAAGGUAAUAUACUGCUUUUUCCUGUCAUAUAUUCACUUAAGUGGCUGUGCACUUGAAUUAGUUGUGCAUGCUUGGUUUGAAGCCAAGAGUUGUGAAAGUACUCCAUUUCAAAAAAUUUAGGCGGAUUAGAAUUCCAAACAAACAUAGUAAAGUUUGACCAUCAAUCAGUCAAAAUAUAUGUAUGUUUAGUGCAGCUAUGCAUCAGUAGAUUCUUACGUCACAUAUAUACUUUAUAAUAUAUAUUGUAAGAGGAACUAAUGGUCAAGUAUGCCUUCAAAGAUUUUCUGAAAUCCUAAUACGCCUUGUAAAAGGAUAUGGGGGGAGUAUUUGGUUCACUACCAGAAAUGUGGCAGGAUUUCAUUUCCUUAAGCAUAGCUAAAUUGUGGACGGCUAAUUUCAAAACUAAAUUUGGUUUUUCAUAUUUCGUUGAGUUCUGAUAGGGUAAAAGUAGGCACUAAAGCACCAAAGAGGUCAGUACAAGCAGUGCCAGCAUUCUCUGAUGAUGAUUGGCAAUAUUGCUGUUGUAAUGCUCAUUGUAUUGAAAGCUGUGAUAAUGCUUCAGGACGUUUUACUAAUCUACCUGCAAGUUUCAUGUCAUUUUAUUAGUUCAAGAACUAAAUUAAUGAACUUGCAAAUGAGAAGUAAAUUGCACAUCAUUUUGGUUAUUCACAAUGCAAAUGAAAACAAGAUAAUCGUAAAGCUGUAAUAAUAUAUAAUUUGUUUUUAACAUAUAUCUAUGAUUCUAACAAAAUUAUGUUGUGAUUAGGAGGAAAUGGAGAAAAACCGCAAGUCUUCAGGUACUUAUUUCUUUCCAUCCCUUUUACAAGUUCAAAUUACAUAGAUUAUGAGCUUAUCGGAACUGUGAAAUCUCUGUUUGAAAAGGUCCAGCAUCUGGUGGUGGUUCAUCUGGUACCAGAAUGAGGGAAGUCGCGUGCCCUACCUGCACAGUCCAUCUUCAGGUAUGUCAAAAAGUUACUCUCGCCGCAUAACACAGAUUACUUUAUGCUCCUAGUAAUUAUCCAUUUAGUAUUAUUAUUAUGCCCUAAUAACUAAUGUGGCUGAGGAAUUGCAGGUUCAGGUUCCAACAUCUGGCUCAGAGACAGUGGAGUGUGGAGUGUGCCAGCAUGCCUUCCUUGUCAGCGCCAAUUGAUACACCGGGGAGACAGUGCAUGCUAUAGAAAUUAUUCUGUUGAUAACUAUUCCUUUUUUUUUUGUUAUGCUGUAUACAUAAUAAGUGUGUGUUGUGUCAGCCUGUACAUGUUUCUUUGAUUGUGUUGGUGAUCACGGUUAGGAUGUCUCUUUUUCCCCUGUACAUGGGUGAAUUCCAAUUCGGGAGUAUUGCAAUGCUGGAUGUAUGCAGAGAAUACCAUUAGAUUAUAACCGGUGGAGCCUGAAGAGUGAAGGUUGUGCUCAUGCACGCGUGUGACGUCCGCAUUAUGCCUGUUCGAAGUUCUAUCAUGCUGCUUCUUUAGUACCUUUGUGCCCCUUCAGAGCCAAAAAAAAGGGUAUCUGUUUUGAAGCAAAUUUUGUACAGAACAUCAUCUGUCAGCUAUUAGCAGAUUGAGGUGUGUGUUUUGCGUAGGGAUGAAAACGAAAAUGAUAAUCUCCGAUUUUUGGAAAUUGUUUUUGAGUUUUUUUUUAAAUGUUUAGACCUAAAUAAAAUUGAUAACGGUAACGAAAAAACAAAAACACUAAUAGUAAAAAUAAUAAAAAACGAUCGUUUUAAAGAUUUCCGUAUUUAACUGGUAAUUUACCGUUAUAAUUAUCGGUUCAAAGGUCUUUAAUUAAUGAUGUCUGACAUUUAUCUUUAGGAAGCCUAUAGGCUACGAUCUCUAAGAGGAACUUUAAUAAUUCAUAUUUUGAUCACCAUAUUAUAUCAAGUCAACUUGAAACAUGAUCGUUUAUAUUGUAUCUUUGUCUGUUUGAUACCUAAAAUAGUGUGAACUAUGUGGUUUUAGCUUGUGAUCUUAUCAAUUAUGACUUUAUUUAUCAUUGUCAUCUGAGAUAGGUCGAGUUAUAUAGAUUUUUUUAUGUUCAAUGUUUUGGCGUGUUUAUUGUUUUAGGAUAUCGUUCGCAUAGAUUCCGAUCGUUCUCCAUACAUUUUUCGAUUGACUACUAUUAUUUUCAUAAUGAUUUCGUUUUAGAGAAAAAAAUAUGAAAACAAAAGUGAUUUGGCCUCCUAUCGAUCGUUUCCGAUUAUUUUCAUGCCUAGUUUUGCAAGCCUGUUCGCUUAAGUUUAUCUAUCAAAUCUGUCAACUAUUCAAGAGUAUUUUUUUUCUUACAACAAAUCAUCAAAUACAUUCAUGAUUUAUCAGCCAAGCAUGGAACUAGCUUUUGGAUCAUCCGACGUCGUGGCCGUUGAGGGACGUGAUCCGUCGAAGUGCCGCAUGUUUGAGCGUUCGCCCUUUGGCAAUACAUUGUUAUCGCAAACACAAUCGAUUUGCAAACACAAUCGAUUUUCUAGAGAAGAUCAAUGCCAGACAGGAGCGAGGCCAACGAUUGCGAUAGAAACUGGGCCAAGUCGAAGCAUGAUGUCGCUCCCAUUCAACAUCUCAAAAAACCUGCUGCCCGUCUCUUUUUCAACCGAUCCAUCAUUCCCCUCGAACAGGCAUUCUUGGCAAACAAACAGGGUUCAGAAAAAGGCCAUCAAAUGAUCAACCCUUCCAAGCAGCUCUACAUUCUCUGCGCAGCUAGCUCGGAGAGCUUUCUUCUGCUCGUUCCAUCGAGGCAAACAUCUCAGGGAGGGGAGGGCCUAGCAUCAUCCAUGUGACAGACAGUCAUCCAUGCAUGCACGGGCCCAGCAAAACUGCACCCUCUGGCGUAAGCUGUAGUAGCCUCUUUGUCUACGAGCAUCAUACAUGUACACGCGUAGAUGUCAGUGGCACACGUUAUCCGGCCGGUACACCCGCGCGGCGCCUCUACACGUCGCUGUGCCGGCUGCCCGGCACGGCGGUGGGGCGGUGCGGCAUGUUGCUGGCAUGAUUGGUCGCCAUGGAGCCUAUAGAAAGCAGCGUCCACGGCGCGCGCGCCUCGCCUCGGAUAAGCCGCGGCGCAAGCACCAUCAUCGUGUUCCUGAAAGCGUUGUAUCAUGAAGCAGGCCGCCUGCAGCGGUGCCAAGCACGGACUCGAGUAGCAAGCAGCAGUUCAGUCAGUCCGUGCAGGUGCUGUGCGGGCAGACGCUGAAAGACUCGACAACGAAUGACAAGUGCACUCUCAUGGCUAAAGAAAGCCUACCUAGCUAGGCGAUACAGAAAUUAACCGGAGCAGGCUCUAGAGGUGGCAUGAUUCAACGUGAUCUGAUGAGUGUGUAGAAGCUGCGUGGGCAUGUCAGCGGCAUAGCAGCGGCGUGGCUGGCCUAAUCCGGCAUGGCAGCGGCGGCGUCAGCCUGACGGAUGUUCAUGUCGCAGGAGCUAGCAGAGCUUCAGAGGUGCUUGAGUUUCUGCAUCUACUCUAUGCAUCUUCUGCUGCUAAAGUGCUGGAGUAGCAUCCAGCAGAAAUUCGACGGGGAAAUUCCUCCCGAGCAGAGGCUAAUCGAUCGAGUCUGCCAGGUUUCUGCUCCUGAUCGAUUGUGAGAUCGUGCUGUCUUUUUGACCGGCAAUUUGGCAACGGCCGGACGGUAUGAUUACUUGGCAGUCGGCACCUGACGUUCUUGUUAGCGUUUGUAUUAUGUUUUUGUACAAUCAAUCUUUGACAGUAGUUGUGUUGUUGAUGAGAAUAAGUUAGGGGAGAUUUGGCCAUUUCUUGCCGGAAAAAAAAAAGCAGUCAAUGAGUUUUGUGCUCUGUAUAUAUGAAGUUGGUAUUUGCCCACCCGCUCUCUGAACUCUGAAUAAACUUGCAAAAAGCAUCUGAUGCAACAAAAUAGCAUCUUUUUGAAAGAUGCAACAAUAGCACAUAAGAACCAGACGUCUCAAUUAUCCUCGGACAACUUUCGUUUGCUUUUGGCUAGCGAGGUGUGUUUCUGUUUCGCAUGUGGACGCAGCGUACGUGGGAAAAACUUGCACGGGCUUUUCCCCAUUUCAGUAGAAUCUCCCUUCCAUAUGGCCAUACUCUUUCCCCACUUCAGCAGAAUCACCCUUUUCCUGUUCAUGAAGCCUGACAUGUAGUAUAUAUAUUGGCACAUGUCACCCCAUAUGGCCAUACUCUUUCUCGCCCGUGAACCUUCCGUAUACCCGCUAAGAGCCAAGGCAUAGAAGAAAGCGAAGAGGGCAAAGGGAAUCUCAUCGAACUGAAAUACUGAAUUUCUUCCAGUCGUAGUGGCUGCAGCUAUCACGUACAGCAUCAAAUUGUCAGUUUGGUGGGUGCUGCCAUACUACUACUACUACUAGCUGUAGUGCGUGAUGGAGAGCGCAUCAACCAUCAUCUUGGACAAAUUCCCUAAUAUAAAAACCCAAGUUGUCCACAAAGGAUUCGAGAUCCCAUCCUCCAAUUGCCACCCCGUUCGAUACACUGGAAACGAUAAGUUGCCCCCUCUUUCCAGCCCCCCAAAAGUCUGAAAAGAGGCCAUGGCCAUGAGCUUGCAACCAACAGUCCAUGCUCCUUCAUCAUCUGGCCGUUUGGACGUUUGACGCUAUCCGUGCCCAUUAUGCAGCAGCUCUUUGAUCAGAUCAAGACAUCAAGUGCAUGCCAACAUGCCAUCCUCUGUCCAGACGAGCAAAUUUGUAUCGUUGCAUGCAAGGACAGGCAUCAACAAUCCAAGCCGCAUCCGGCAUCGGCCAUGCUUUGCUGCCCGCGCGCCUCUACCACCCGGCCAGUUAGCUCAAACUCAUCCAUCAGACCAUCAGUCUCAGCAGCCGAUCAGGGAGGCCAGAGGACCCUCGUAGUAGUAGACAAGCACGAGAGGGCAGGCUGCAGGAGGACAGACGAUACAUAUAGGGCUGGGUAGGGUAGGGUAUGGACCUCCAAUCGUCCAUUCCAUCGGGCUGCCGGCUGCGCAUGCAGAUAAUGCAUACUGUACUAUGCAUGGAUGGUGGUUGCGAUGGGGACGCGUGAGCGAGAAAUUGUUCCAGUGGCCAGGCCAACCAAUGCAACCGGUGAUCGGCCGGGGCUGGCUGAUCCAUCCGUGGUUCGAUUGGAAUUUGGCCGCCUCUUGGAUUCUUGCCCACGGUCCACGGAUGUUACGAAUCUGGAUGUUCUCUUCCAUUCCAUCAGAUGGAAAUAUAUGGCCUCAUUGCAAUAUGCAUGACCUAGCUAUUGGAGGUUGGAGGUCGACGAUGUCCUUUCUCUUCUGAACUUUGUGCACUGGACAACACUGAAUUCGUAGCCGUGAGCCCGUGAGGCCCGUUUCUCUGAACAACACUAAUUGAGGCUACGGCCUGAUUAGGCUCUACGCAUGCUGUUAGGUGUGCUAAUUAGGUGCACUACGUGCUGCUCCUACGGUCCUAUUGCCCUCGUAGUAGUAGUAAUAGUAGUACGUACUCCCUCCGUCCACGAAAAAAUCAAUUUCUAGAGUUGUCCUAAGUCAAAAUUUUUAAACUUUGACCAAAUUUCUAGAAAAAAUACUAAGAUUUAUGGUAUCAAAUUAGUAUCAUUAGAUUCAUCGUAUAAUAUAUUUUUAUAUGAUGUGCAUUUUAUAUCAUAGAUGUUGUUACUCUUUUCUAUAAAGUUAGUCAAAUUUUUAAAAGUUUGACUGACACGGAUUUUAAGAAUUGACUUUUUCGUGCACGGAGGGAGUACAUGCUACUGCGCUAAGCACAAGACGGGACAUGCAACUAAGCACACACGCUCGCGAAUCCAGAGAAGAGCUGUAGUGCGUGAUGGAGAGCAGGUGGCGUGGGUUUGCGUCGAGGCAGCCUCGGUUUCUCGCGUUGCAUGCUGCUCUCUAGGCAGGUUGCCUCUGCCAGCGCCGGCCAUGAUCGUCCGAAAUCCUAUGCUCUGUGCUCUUGCUAGUCCGCCUAAAAUAAACCCAACUGCGAGUCUCAGGCCUUGUUUAGUUGCUAAUUUUUUUCAAAAUUCUCUAUCAUAUAAAAUCUUUAGACGCAUACAUAAAAUAUUAAAUAUAGAUAAAAAUAACUAAUUAUACUAUAAUUUGCGAGAUGAAUCUUUUAGAUCUAGUUAAUUUAUAAUUAGAUAAUAAUUAUUAAAUAAAAAUAAAAAAACUAUAGUAACCAGAGCUAUAAAUUUUUUCACAAACUAAACAAGACCUCAGACGCGGAAAUUGUUCAAAACGGAUGGCCUAAAGUCUAAACGCAUGGCGACUUGCUGCUCCGUCUUCCGUCACAAAGACGGAGCGGUCUUGUUUAGUUUCAAUUUUUUUGCCAAAAUAAUUACUAUAACAAUUUCAUUUAUAUUUAAUAAAUAUUGUCUAAUCAUGGACUAUCUAAGCUUGAAAAUUUCGUCUCGUAAAUUAUAAAUGUAUAUUUAGUUAUUGUUUUUAUUUAUAUUUAAUACGCUAAUGCAUGUGUCGCAAGAUUUGAUGUGAUGAGAAUUUGAAAAAUUUUGUAAAAAUUUUUUAGAACAAAACAAGGCCUGAGUGUGGCUAUAUCCGCCUAAAGUUCCUUUCGAGACCGGCCAAAAUCCAGCUGGAUUUGCCAGAAUUUUUUUGCAAAUUCCGCCGUGACUGGGGGAGCUGUGGAGGGUGCCGCUGCCACGCAGUCCACACAUACUGUACGGCAUGUGGAAACAGUAGCGAUGCCGUAUCAGCAUGUCGGCGGCGGCACGUGGGGAACCUCCUCGCGUGUAUGCAUGCGCAAUGCGUACCCGGACGUGCGGCGCUAAGCUUUACACGGGGAGUAAACAACAAGCACUCCCUCAAGAUGAAACAGCUUUUACUGGGACAUCAAGCUGACCACAUGCAAUGCACUGCUCGUAGGCUAAGAACUUGUUUAGAUACACCCAAAAACUAAAAACUUUACAAGAUUUCUCAUCACAUCGAAUCUUGCGGCACUUGCAUUAAACAUUAAAUAUAGAUAAAAAAAGAUAACUAAUUGUACAGUUUACCUGUAAAUUACGAUAAAAAUCUUUUAAGCUUAGUUACUCCAUAAUUGGACAAUGUUUGUCAAAUAAAAACAAAAGAUGCUACAGUGUCAAAAUCCAAAAAAAUUUUGGAUCUAAACAAGGCCUAAAAAAACACUACUGCUGUAAAAGUUAUAAGUGAAACUGUUCGCCAAUUUAUUAUAAGAGAAAAAUACUAUUGAAAAAUAAAAAAAUACGACUUACAAAAUAAGCGAAUAGAUGUGAGCACAGGAUAUAAAAGCUCACCGUACCUACGGGGAUAUAUUAACUUAUUAAGUCCGCCAUUAUUGAUCCAUUAGCUAGUAUGAAGCAUGAACGCUGAAAUAUGAGGACAAUAUUGUUCAUGGAUAGCAGAAAUAAGUGAUUGUGUAAACUGUUAGUUGUUAGUUUAGUUCUUGUGUUGUAUUGUUUGUAUGAGUAUGACACUUAGUUAUGAAUCUAUGUAAACGAGAUUAUUGAUGAAAGCAUGUGUUGUUUAACUAUUAAUAUAUAUUUGAGUUUUCUAGCUAACUCCUGAUUUUUUUAAUAUAUAUUUGAGUUUUCUGAACUUGUAUUGAGGUGUUACUCAUGUUCUCAACUCUCAAAUUUUGAUAUUUGGAUCCCUAAUCUAAAUCCCUGAACUCGGAGGUCAACACAUAAUUAGCAUGAGCCAUUAGUGCCAUCUUUGUGUUGACAUGCAAGUUCCUAUAUAUAUAUAUAUAUAUAUAUAUAUAGGUGACACCGACAUAUAAGUCUGGAAAUAUAAAUAAUAAAAUUCAAGAGUUGAAGACCCAAGUGACAUGACAAUGCAAGCUCAAAGAUCACUCAUGUAUCAGAAAUGGAAAGUUAAGUGCAACUCCAAUAAUUCCUUUAUAUCCUUCAGAUAAGAAUAUAAUUUUUUGUGUUUAAUUAAAUUUCUAAAUAUUCCCAUCCUCAAAUCUCUAUUUCUAUUUUCUCGCUAGUUAAAAAUAGAGAAUGGCGAUGAUCCUCCGAAAUACGUAUAAAAUAUAAUAAAGCUGUUAGAAGAUGGAAAGAUGUAUAUGAAGUUUUUUUUUUAUUCAAAUGGCUCGUUAAAUAGGGAUUUGAUCUUGGAGAUCGACGUUCCAAGGACCUACUAGAUGACGUCGGCGGUUACUCUCGUUUCUUCCUCCCCCGAACAAUGUGCCCACUACGGACGGGUGAUGUAUGUUUAGCGAAAGUGAAAAGUGAUGGAUGUAAUGAUUGUCUAUUAUCAGUGAACAGUAAUUUUACAUAUAUAUACAAGAGGCAGUUAUUUGUGUCAGUGACACAAGAACAGUGCCUUGGCGCCCACGGGGCCUAAAACGAUGCGGCGACGGUUCGGUCAUUAGCACGUGUCUAAUGACAGGAAUAUACUAAUUGAUCAUUUAAUUAAUUAUUCUAAUUAAUCCUAACACUCCCUCUUGAUGAAUUAAUCUUCUUGUGGGCACCGUUUCUUGUUCAUCAGUAUACGUCUUGAAGCUUUGGAAAAACCCUGUGGGAAAAAUCCAAAGUAUAUGGAUAUACCAGGUAAAACUCUCUAAAACCUAGUGGGAAAAAUAAGGAGAAACCCCAUGAUAUAUAUGAAAUCAAUGUUAAUAGACCCUUUAGGUAACCUAAAGACUUAGGCCCUGUUUGGUUCCACCAACUAAAUUUUAGUCACUUUAGUAGCUAAAGUUCCAAACACAUUGACUAAAAGAGGCUAAAAUAGUUUAGUUCCAUUAGUCACUCAAGAGUAGCUAAAAUAAUUUUAGCUAGCUAAAAUUUAGUUGGUGGAACCAAACAGGGCCUUAGUCUAAAACAAUUUGAUCAGAGAUCAAAAUGUCAAAUAUUAUCCUUGAAAAACCUCAAUGAGGAAAAAUAGAUAAUAUGACAAUCACCUUGUGUUACUAUUACCUCAUUAAAAACUUUAUUUGAGAAAGCUCUUAAUAGAGUAAAACUCAUAUAAAGGAAAAAGAGUAUAAUAUAAUGAUGAAGUAGAAUAUCUUUUUAGAGAGAUUCUCCCCCUGAACUUUGCAAAUCUUUAAGCUUUCUCAUACCAAUCCCAUCAACACAUUUCUUGAAUGUGGAGUAUGGUAGAGAUUUUGUGAAAAUAUCUGCUAGAUUAUCACAAGAUUUCGUUUGCAAGAUCUCUAUUUCUCCAUUCUUUUGGAGCUCAUGAGGGUAGAAUAAUUUAGGAAUAAUAUGCUUAGUCAUAUUACUCUUAAUAUAUCCUGACUCCAUCUGAGUAACACAAGCCGAAUUAUCUUCAAAGAUAAUAGUCGGUGUCUCAGCUAUACCAAUACCACAUGAUUGUGUUAUGUGGUGAAUUACUCUACGAAGCCAUACGCAUUCGCGUGAUGCUUCAUAUAAAGCAAUUAUUUCAGAAUGAUUGGUAGAGGUGGACGUUAGUGUCUGCUUUGAAGACUUCCAAGAUAUUGUUGUACCACCUUGUAAGAAAACAAAGCCCGUCUGGGAUCUACCAUGAUGUGGAUCUGAUAGAUAACCAGCGUCUGUAUAUCCUAACAAAAUUGGAUCUUGAUUUCUGCUAUAGAAUAAACCAAGAUCUUUUGUGCCAUUAAGGUAUCUAAAUACCGUUUUGACUCCUACCCAAUGGCGUUUAGUAGGUGCAGCAUUAUGUCUUGCCAGCAGAUUUACUGCAAAUGCAAUAUCCGGCCGGGUAUUGUUAGCAAGAUACAUUAGUGCUCCUAUGGCACUGAGAUAUGGGAAAUGUGGUCUCAAUAUCUCUUCAUUCUCUUCCCGAGGUCUAAAUGGAUCCUUUUCCACAUCUAAGGAUCUUACUACCAUCGGUGUUUUUGUUGGAUAUGACUUGUCCAUAUUGAAUUUUUCCAAUAUCUUUUGGACAUAGCUAGAUUGGUAUACGAAUAUACCAGAAGGUAAGUGCUCAAGUUGUAAACCCAAGCAGAAUUUGGUUUGACCCAAAUCCUUCAUUUCAAACUCCGUCUUUAAAUGAUGACGUGCUUCAUCAAUAUCGGAUCCAUUGCCGAUAAUAUUGAGGUCAUCAACAUAAACUGAUAUAAUACAGAAUCCAGUUGAUGACUUCUUAAUGAAGACACAAGGACAGUCAUCAUUAUUUGUGUAUCCCUUUAGCUUAAGGAAUUCACUUAACCGAUUGUACCACAUUCGGCCUGACUGCUUUAAGCCAUAUAAUGACUUCUGCAACUUUACGCAAUACAUAUUGCGAUUUGCCUUCGGGUUUGGUAUAUUGAUUCCAUCUGGAACCUUCAUGUAUAUAUCUGAAUCUAAUGACCCAUAUAAAUAUGCGGUCACGACGUCCAUCAACUGCAUAGAUAGACGAUUUUGUACUGCCAAUGCUAUUAAGUAUCGGAAUGUUAUUCCGCUCAUUACUGGAGAGUAAGUUUCGUUGAAAUCAACGCCAGGUCUUUGCGUAAAACCUUGUGCCACUAGCUACCAGGAGGUGUUGGCAUUACAGCCGAAAACACUUUCCUUUUAUAAAGCGAGGCAAUCUCUGUUUGAAUUGCUAUCUUCCAAUUAUCCCAAUCUGAGCGCUUUUUGCACUCAGCAUGGACUUGGGAUCUGUAUCAGUUUGGAUGAUAUUUGUAAUUUCUUCAGAGAAAUAAAUGUCGACAAUUAUGGACUUACGAUUGUAAGACUCUCCAGUCUCAGCGAAAUUUAUAGAAAUUUCGUCUACCCUUAAAGAUUCAUCAUGAUUUCCCAAGAUGAUGGAUCGAGGGUUUUCAGCUGUUUCAGCCUCAGUAUUUAUGCGCAUAACUGAGUUAGUUGAUGGACAAUAUGUGUCCUUUGGGUGUCUUUGCUUGUCAAUAAUCAGAUCCUGUUUCUUGGAAGUGCUUCUCCCCCUCUUUUUACCAAAUUGGGGUUGAGUGGUUUUAUUAGGUACCUCCACUCGUUCAGGCACAUUCCUUGCAGGAUGUAGAGACUUUGUGACACCUUUAUGAUCAAUGAAAGCGUCUGGCAGAUUGUUUGCAAUAUUUUGCAAAUCAAUGAUUCUUUGAACUUAUUGUUCAGUUUCCGUAGUACGUGGAUCAGUAAAUGAGAUGCCUUUAGCAUCCCAAUCUAUUUCCUGGCAUUCUUUUUGGUACAAUUCUCCCCCUAAUGCCGGGAAAUGAUCCUCAUUAAAAAUACUAUCAGCGAACCGGGCAGUAAAUAGAUCCCCUGUAAGAGGCUCUAAAUACUUAAUAAUUGACGGAGAUGAGUAUCCAAUAUAGAUACCCAAUUUCCUGUGAGGGCCCAUUGAUGUUCGUUGAGGUGGUGAGAUGGGUACGUAUACAGCGCACCCAAAUUUACGCAAAUGGGAAAUACUCGGAGGAUUCCCACGUACUAAUUGUAAAGGGGAUGUUUCGUGAUAUGCAGUUGGUCGUAGUUGGAUUAGGUCUGCAGCGUGCAGGACUGCAUGACACCAACAUGACGUAGGCAAUUUGCAAUUCAUUAACAAUGGUCGUGCAAUGAGCUUGAUUCUUUUAAUCAACGAUUCAGUCAAACCAUUUUAAGUAUGGACGUAAGGUACAGAGUGCUGAACCUGAAUUCCCAAUGCCAUGCAAUAAUCAUUGAAAGCACGGGAUGAGAAUUCAGCAGCAUUGUCCAUUUGGAUUGAUUGAAUCCGAUGUUCAGGAUAAUGAGCUUUCAACUUAAUAAGUUGAGCCAUUAUUUUAGCAAAUGCAUGGUUGCGUGUCGAUAAAAGACACACGUAAGACCAUCUAGUGGAUGCGUCUAUUAAAACCAUGAAGUACCUGAACGGCCCCGAUGAUGGUUGAAUCGGACCAUAAAUAUCUCCUUGAAUUCGUUCAAGGAAUUUAAGUGGUUCAGCUCGUAUUUUAAGAUGUGAUGGUCUUAAAAUUAAUUUCCCCGUAGCACAAGCAGUGCAGCAAAAAUCUUUAUUUUGGGGAAAUCUUGCUUUUUCCAUGUCAUGACCAGUAGAAUUGCUAAUAAUUUUCCUCAUCAUCCCAAUACCAGGAUGCCCAAGUCGAUCAUGCCAGUUACGGAAUGUAUCGACAUCUCGGAAAAUUAUUUUGUAAGCAAUAUGUUUUACAGGUUUUAUGUAUGUGAAAUACAAUCCAUGUUGGAGUGAAGAAAUCUUUUCGCAAAUUCGUUUGCCAAAUGCCGUAAGUUUGGUAAAGAGAAGAUAUUCCUCUUCACUGUCUUCAUGUGUUUCCACAUGAAAACCAUUCUUACGGAUGUCUCUAAAACUUAGAAGGGUACGAGUUGAUUCGGGAUACAACAAUGCAUCCUCUAUCGUAAUUUGUGUACCCAUUGGGAGAGUAAUAGUGGCCCGUCCAGAACCAACUAUUAACGCAUCAUUACCAGCAAUAGUCAAGAUGUUCCCUUCUCUUUUCUUAAGAGUUUGGAAAUAUUUAAUUUCUCUAAGUAUAGAGUUUGUGGCCCCUGAGUCCACAAUGCAUAGUUCUUCCUCCAGUGGAUUGAGUUCAUCAGACAUCUAUAUGUAUAGUAAAGAAAAUAAAUACUAUAAAUGAAUCAUACAAGUAUAUAAUAAUAAUAUAUUGAAUAUCAAGUAUGAUAUAUUACAAUAUGAGUAACUUGUUACAAACUUGAUAUAACAAAACAAGUAUGUAUAAAAUACAAGCACACAAAAUAAAGGUAUGACUUAGACUAAUUACAACGCUCUAUAUAUAUAUAUUAUGAUAUCAAGGUUCAGAUUAUGAGAUUAUUCUAAAUCUCCAAACAUGUCUCCAGAUUCAAAAUCUAUGAGCAUGUUGUCUGUUGAUGGCAUUUUCUCUUCAAUAUUGAGAGAUUCACUACGGGUUUGUUUCUUAGGGGCUAUCUUGGAACAACUCGCUUCCUUGUUAGCCUCAGUUGCAAGAUUGAAGUGUGCUUCAUAUUUCUUAUCUCCUGCAGGCUUAGCCUCUUUUAAGGACUUUUGGUACAAAGCAACUAAAUGCUUUGGAGUACGGCAAUUCUUGGCAAAAUGCGAAAAAUCUCCGCAUCUGUGACACUUGUUGUCAUUUUUGGGAGUUUUUGCAUUGUCCUUGUUCUUCUUAUUAUGAUUAAACCUUUGCUUUUUGUUGAAUUUGCGUUUACCAAAUUUGUUCUUCGGAAAUUUUCCUUUAAACUUAUUCUUGGGCUUUUCCUGUACAUUGUGAACCUCAGGUAAAGGCGCCGAACCAACAGGGCGCUUAUGAUGAUUCUUCAAAAGGAGUUCAUCAUGUUUUUCUGCCUGAGUUAAUGUAUGGAUAAGCUGAGAAUAUGCUUGGUAAUUAUGAGCCCUGUAUUGCUGUUGCAAAACUCUAUCAGAUGGGAGCAUGGUAGAGAGUGUUUUCUCUAUCUUGUCUUUAUCUGAUGGCUCUUUUUCGUAAAAUUUCAACUUAGAGCAAAUCCUAUGAACAGCGUGGUUAAAGUCUGCCACAGAUUUGAAAUCUUGGAGACGUAAGUGAUUCCAUUCAUGAUUGGCUUCUGGCCAAAUGAGUUCUUUUUGCUGUUCAUAUCGUUCUUUAAGAGCGUCCCAUAAUUCUUUGGGACUCUCAAUCAUAAGGUAUUCAGAUUUUAAAUCCUUAUGAAUAUAAAACCGUAGUAAAGCCAAAGCUUGAUAAAUUUGCUUUUCUUGCAGGGCAUCCCCAUUUUGGGGGUCCUGUAUUGUUGCCAAAAGACUACGAGAUGCAAGUGCUAUCUUGAUAUCAGAAGCCCAUGUAGGAUAAUUCUCUCCGUGUAAAGAGAGUUCCUCAAAUUCCCUAGUGGAAGUCAUAAUCCUACAUGUGCAUUUGCAACCAUGGAUUAAUUAAUUUACCCUAUGGUAAAUUUAAAAACAACAUGGUAGAGUUGUAAUUCUGAAUGCAAUAUAUUUUAUGAUUUAUAUCUUAUCUUAGUGUUGGAUUUGUUGUGAUUAGUCACGAGAUUGUGUAGACCAUACAACCAAAUCACCAUUAAUUUUGAUAAACACAAGUGAGAUAGUCUCUAUGUCAUAGACAAAGAGUAGAUCUUAAUAGUAGGCAAUUUAGAUUGCUGCCUAAGCACGGUCUCAAGGCAAGAUAAUUCAUAAAGAAUUAAAUGCAGCCUUUGCUUAGGACUCUACUACCUUGUGUAUAAUCAAAAUAGUAUGAUGAUAUAACAAUCCAAUACCUUUAUUUUGGAUAAAACACAAUGUAGGUAAUCAUCAAAUUUCAAAGAAAAUGAUGUAGACCUCUCAGUAAUAGGUGAUUAAAUCACUGCUAUGGCACGGUCUCUAGGCAGAAUAAUUCAUGAAGAAUUAAGCGCAGCCUUUGCCAUAGACUCUAUUACCUUGUGUAUAUUUAACCAAAAUAAUCAAGAUAUGUAUAUUGCAAUUUUUAAUCUUAUGGUAAUCUAGAAAUAAUUCUGAUUAUAAAGAUGUCAUAGUUAAAUUGUAGCUAAGUCAAAUAGCAAUUUAAUUUGUAUGUGGUGCAAAAUUUGUGGUUUGGGGCACCAACAUACCCUAUUUCUAUUAUAAAAUUCCAAUUGUAACUUUAUGUUAGUGCAAAACAGGGGGUUUUGGGUGCACUAACAGAUCACCAAAAUUAUUAUCAAAGUCACAAAUAUAAUAUAUGUGGUGCAAAUGGGUUUGUGUGCACCACAUAUAUCAAAAAUAUAAUAGAAAAGCCAUUGCAUCACAAUAUAAUCAAGCCACAAAUUAAUAUACAAUGAUAAUAUCCAGCAGUACAAGCAGGAACAUACAACAUAAAUAAUCUGAUGUUCUGCAGAGGAUAAACUAAAUAAAGCAUAGGCUAAAACAGUUUAUCCAUUUAUUUAUUUACUACUACUGCUGAAAGAAAUAAGAAAGAAUACGAAAAAGAAAAAGGGGCCCAGGCGGCCAGCCAGGCCCGCGGCCCCGCCAGCCGGCCAGGCGCGCGGCCCAGCCAGGCCAGGGCGCGGCCCAGCCAAGGCCAUCCAGGCCUGCAGCCGUAUAUAAGGAGGGGAGCGGUUAGGGUUUGGGAAACCCUAACCGCCCACCCGCCCCAGCCCGCCGCCGCCUGCCUCUGACCGCCGCCGCCGGCGCGCCGCCGCACUGCCGCCGCCGUCGAGACGCCUCGUCCGCCUCCCCCUGUGCCUUCUCCUCCCCCUUUUGCUCCUCUCAUGGCGGGUUUGGGCCCUUGCUCGAUUUCGGCCAUGGAGGUCGGCCGGCAGUGGGGUCCGCCCGUCCCCGGCGAGCUCCGGCCAUGGAGGCCGAUGCUGCUAGCCGGGAGCGGCGGGAUCCCCCCCGCCGGCCCCACCGUGGUGCAUCAAGGGCGGCGGGUCGCCUCCCCCUUCACCGAGGAGGAGACAAACCCAGCCCCGAGUUUGUCGGCGGGCGGAAGGGCGUCACGGCCCCGGGCGGAGGUCGCGGCCACGACGUCGGCGUACGAGCGGCCGCGAGUUGGUGGAGGUGCGAUCGGGGAGAGCGCCGUUGGACGGGUUGGAGGAGGCGGUGGGGUGAUGUCGAAGUCGUAGGCGAAUCCCGGCGGCCAAGCCGGUAUGUCGACGUCUCGGCGUGCGGCCGCCAGGCCACCACCUCCGUUCCAUGGGCGAAGGAGUGCGGACGACGUCGGGAGCAGCGCCGUAGGAGUCGGCGCCGGCAACGGGGACGGCUUCGGCAACGACGACGGCUUCGGCGAGGCCACCGGUGUUGCCCCAACCCGGCGGACGAAGGUGGUCGGGCCGUGGCGGGGGCAAACACCAGUGGUGUACUGUAUCCGCGAUGAACGCGGUGCUUGCCGUGGCGUCGAAGGUCGGCCACCGGCAUUCGGUCCGGUGGCGAGGCGGCGGUGAAGGGCGAUGCGGUGCUGGCCAAUGUCCUUGAGGACUCGGCGGAUGGCGCCCUGGAGGAUGAACCUGCGGACUCCUCCAGGGUGGCUGUUGCCACGGGCGAUGGCGGCCUCCACGGCGUCGGUGACCGCGUCAACCAUGGCGUUCAUGGAAGGGAGUGGAGGAGUCGUCAUCUUCUACCUCUCCGGUGAAUCUCCGGUGGAACUCCGGCGAACUCCUUUCUCUCUGGCUUACUUGCGUCAGCGGUUGUUGGCAGAGCGUGCGUGCGUGAUAACGUGUUUAGCGAAAGUGAAAAGUGAUGGAUGUAAUGAUUGUCUAUUAUCAGUGAACAGUGAUUUUACAUAUAUAUACAAGAGGCAGUUAUUUGUGUCAGUGACACAAGAACAGUGCCUUGGCGCCCACGGGGCCUAAAACGAUGCGGCGACGGUUCGGUCAUUAGCACGUGUCUAAUGACAGGAAUAUACUAAUUGAUCAUUUAAUUAAUUAUUCUAAUUAAUCCUAACAAUGUAUACGUACAUGAUUGGAAUCCAGUGGAAUUGAAAACGGAAUAACGCGACGCUGCUUCACUCCGGUACGAGGAACGGAACAGUAGUCGUGCAUGUGAGUAGACGCGAUCCGGUAGUCACCACCCCCAACAACUGCUUCGAGCUGUGCAAAUUCGCGUCCGCUUCCAAACUCCAUCGCGCUUCAUGAACGGUGUUAGAGUAUUGUCAAGGCAACGUGGGGAGAGAAAAAAAAAAUCUUUGCGUAGAAGAGACCGCGACCGGCCCGGACGUGUACACGCAACGCCGUGCGGCUGCGACCUGCGACCGUGCGGCUGCGGGUGCCGCCCGCACGGCCGCACCGCGCAGCGCACCGCGCGUACGCCCCCGUGACCAGAGAGUCUCGGCCGUGCGCGCCCCUCCUCGUACGCCCGCCCGCCCGCCCCGACCGCGCCGCGCACCGCACCACCUCUCUCCCCUCCCUCGCCUACUAUGAUGACGGCACAGAGACACGAGCGCAGGCCGUUCGCGUCUCCAGGCCUUUAAACGCCACGACGCGACGCCAGGCCAGGCCGGGACGCGAGCGAGCGAGCGAGCGAGCGGCGCGGCAGCCGAAGCAACGCAAAAACGACACCAACGGGUGGAUUUUUAAGUCCGCUUCCCUUCGCCUUCCCCGUCUCCUCUCCCCGUGCCCUCCCCAUCCUUUUUUUUUACCCGCCCGCCCGCCAGCCGCCGUUUCGGUUGCUCGGCUGGGGGAGCACCAGCGCUCGAAGUCUAUGGCGGCGUCGGCGAGGGCGUGCUUGGUUGCGCUGGCGCUGGUGGCCGCGCUCAUCCUCGACGGACCAGCGGCAGCGGCGGCGGAGGAGGGGAAUGCCGGAGGCCGCGGGUCGCUGACGCUGAGGCAGCGCCGCCGGCAGCUGCUACGGCAGCGGCAGGUGCGCAGCCACCUCAAGCGCCUCAACAAGGCGCCGCUCGCUACCAUUCAGGUACUGCUGCGUGCCCGCCCCCGCCUUACCCGUCCGUCUCCUCCCACCGCACCGGCGACGGCGAGCGUACGCCUCGUUCCAUUUCCAUCCAUCCAUGCGUUUCGCAUUCCCCUCGUCAGCGGCUUCGUUUUCUUCGGGUCAUUGUUGUGGGGGCAGUGGGAGUGAAUCCAAGUGAAUCGAUUCCAUGGGUGGAGUGGGAAAAAAAAAGCCAAGGUCCUGCAUUUGGCAUGGAAGUAGGAGCCCCUUUCGAGGCAGCAGGGUUCUUGUUUGUGCCUGCGCGCCUGCCGCGGCGCUUGGUCCACUUCGUCGCUUCGCUUUGGAAGAGUUGAAUGGCUGUUCCUCGUGGACCAUCUCCUCGCUUUCCUUCCGUCGCGGGAGGAGAAAGUCUCGCUUUUGGACAAAUUUUAUGGGUGCCCGUGCUUCCUUUGCUUCAUUGAACUCGAAGCUAGAGACGCUUGCUUUUGCUCGCUUUUCUUUCAUCUUUGGAGAACUAUCAUAGUCUUUUCUUUCCUGAUGAACCAUUGUUCGUAUGUAUGCAGAAGCAUUGUAUGCUUAUUAGUUUGGUUAAUACUCUCAUCUUUGGAGUAUUUUUUUUUUCAAUGUAGCAUUGGUUGAAGAUGGAAUGUCUUCACUUUUUUUUCUCUCUUUUCUCUGCAAAUGAGAAAAUCUGACAUGUACAUAAAAAAGAUUCAGAGAAAAUCUUACAUGUUCAGGAAAAAAAAAGAGUUUGGCACGAAAAAAGUUUAGCGCAAUCUUUUUUUCCCCGCAUUUUUGCAACUGGUACUAAUUAUGAGAUAUCAUCUUAACAGAGUCCAGAUGGAGACAUCAUAGACUGCGUGCAUAUCUCCAAGCAGCCUGCCUUGGAUCACCCCUUCCUUAAGAACCACACCAUCCAGGUUCCUCUCUCUGCAGCGCCAUUGCUCUUUCCCAUUUCGCUUUCUGCAGCAGUGUUUCUACCCCACACAUCACUACAGCAGCACUAAUUAAAACAUGCUCUAUCAUCACAUUACCUUUGCAGAUGCGGCCUGCAUACCACCCGGAAGGUCUGUAUGAUGAGUCCAAGGUUGCAUCGCAGCAGAACGCCCAAACAAUCACCCAAAUGUGGCAUCAGAAUGGCAGGUGCCCCGAGAACACGAUACCGAUCAGGAGGACCAAGGAGGAGGACGUCCUGAGGGCCAGCUCCGUCAGGAGGUAUGGCAAGAAGAAGGGCAAGACUACCGCGAACCCCAUGUCGGUUGACCCUGACAUGCUCAACGAGAGCGGCCACCAGGUUAGUGCAGAUUGUUUCAUCCAGUAACCUUAAUAGCAGUACUGAUUGAUAUUCUUGUUCCUGAACUGUGGUUAUCUCUGAAACUGCUCAUUUAACCUUGUUCCAUCUUACCUCCCAUGGAGCAGCAUGCCAUAGCAUAUGUGGAGGGCGAUAAGUACUAUGGCGCCAAGGCUACCAUCAAUGUGUGGCAACCGAAGAUCGAGCAGGCUAAUGAGUUCAGCCUGUCCCAGCUCUGGAUCUUGGGGGGCUCCUUCGGACAGGACCUCAACAGCAUCGAAGCAGGAUGGCAGGUGAGGGAGAAAGAGAAACCCACUUCAUGAAAAGUUCUAUUAAAUGCUGCCUUGCAGUUUCCAUUUCUGUUCUUCAUCUUCUUCCAUGGGCUCAAUAAUUUCUCCUCUGCACGCGUUAAUAAUUUCUCUCUUGUGUGCUGCAAUAAUGAUAUGAGAACUGCUGAUGAAAGAGCUAUUAAAUGAGUAGGAGCUAGAAUAGAUUCUGCAUCGACACAGAUGUUCUCUUUCAUGAGCUGUACUAGGCUACUAGCAAUAUGUGGUGUUUAGGAGCUAAGCAUGCUCUAAUGGUGGAGUGAAAUGUGCCAUCACUUUCAUUGUGGUUAAUGGCUCUGUGCUCUCCACGAAAUUGCAGGUUAGCCCAGACCUGUAUGGAGACAACAACACUAGGCUCUUCACCUACUGGACUGUAAGAUAAACAUCACAUUCUUUUCAAUCUUCAUGAACAAUUAUUUUUAGUUUAUCUUUGUCCUCUGCCUAGAUCUACAUCCCUAUCUUAUGAUUCUCAAAUUGGGGGAUGGCCUAAUGAUACUGAUUUUGUAUUGCUUUGGAUACUACAGAGCGAUGCGUAUCAAGCAACAGGAUGCUACAACCUGCUGUGCUCGGGGUUCAUCCAGAUAAGCAAUCAGAUCGCCAUGGGCGCCAGCAUCUUCCCUAUCUCCAACUAUGGUGGUUCCCAAUAUGACAUCAACAUUUUGGUCUGGAAGGUAAAUUCCAAAAAGCUCUCACAUGCCGAGCAUACUACAAAUCAAAUUCAUGAAUGGACCCGGAGAGAAUCCGUGGUGCCCACCUGUCUCUUGUUCUUUCUGAAGGCGCCUUCAGGCUUGAGUCAAGGCUACAACUGUGGUUCUGGCCCUGUUUGUGGACACACUCGCAGUAGAGUGACAGUUGGCCCACGCACGAACCAGAUUUGUCUGCAAACGCGACCACUGAUAAUGAUUGCCUUUUUUAACAAUUUUCCACAAGAAUAUUCACCUCGGGCUAAUGUUUCUUCUGUUAGAAAAUCUUACCCUUUCCUGCCAGCAGAUGUUUCAAAUCUGGCUCUUUCCAUAAGCAAUUGUGUAAUGGCAUUGCCAUGUGCCAUUAUCUUGUUUUUCCAUGGAUUUCUGAAAUUUCGUUAAAAGAUGAGAUGAUGUGCAGGUCAUUAUCCUCAAAGGCAAUUUACCUUUCCAUAGUGCAUAUGAGAACACAAACUUUCUUCUGCGCAUGCAUGAUAGUAGCACUAAAAAGGACCCUACCAUAAUAAUACUUCCUGAUCAUCAUGAAUCUAUCACAUAAAUUCAACACCCAAAAAUUGUGGUUUUGCGCAGGACCCAAAGGAGGGCAACUGGUGGUUGCAGUUCGGGAACGACUAUGUUCUGGGCUACUGGCCGUCCUUCCUCUUCUCCUACCUGGCCGACAGCGCCUCCAUGAUCGAGUGGGGCGGCGAGGUGGUGAACUCAGAGCCCGACGGCAGUCACACCACCACACAGAUGGGCAGCGGACACUUUCCGGAGGAAGGGUUCGGCAAGGCCAGCUACUUCAGAAACAUCCAAGUGGUGGACUCGACCAACAACCUCAAGGCGCCAAAGGGCGUGGGAACCUUCACCGAGCAAUCCAAUUGCUACGACGUGCAGAACGGCAACAAUGGUGACUGGGGCACCUACUUCUACUAUGGCGGCCCCGGGAAGAACUCUAACUGUCCAUAGUGAAGAUUGAAACCGCCUAUCAGGAGCCCUAACACCCUCUUUGACACCUCUGUAUUACCAUCCAGUAAAUUAGUUUAUACUACCUCAUUUUCUUCAUUUUUUCUCUCUUGGUUUUGGUUUUGUUUUACUCUUUACCUCUACCCCUAGUUUAUUAACUUCUAGGUGAGUGAGCGUGUGUUGACAUGCAUGUGAGAUUGUUCUCUCUGCCUCAGAGAGAGAGAGAGAGAUGUUGGUCGUCUGGUUCGUUCUAGGGAGGAGGAAAGGACUGUGGUCAAGUUCAGUAAAAAAAAAGGACUGUGGUCAAGUUUCUGAAGAGAAACAGGCCUGUUGGUUUGGUUGUGCCUAGUGUCUGUCAAAUAGUUUUGUUUCCUUCACCCCAUACCUUCGACCCUGUCAAGUUGAAUCGGAUUUGUUAAUUGUUGGUGACUGUGAGCCUCGCUAAUCCUUGUACCGCCGGGUGUGUUUUCUAUUCUGAAAAGUGGGUAAUCGAGUGCUUAGCUGUUGGAAGAUGUGCAAAGAUGCCAACUUUUCGUGUGCCGAGUUUGGUGGCCACUGAGUCACCUGGAAAAGUGUAGUGUGGGUGAUUAUUUACAAAUGUAUAUGGGUGAGUAUUUUUCUUAUUAUUAUAGCAGCGUGUGGAGGUGAUGCUACUGCUGUAGGCUGGUGGAGUUCACAUUGCAAGCAACAACGCGUGCACCAUUGCUUCAACGAAAUGGUGAGUGGCAUACAGGUUGCUGGGGCUUGCUGCUGAUUGGAACAGCUACUGCUAAUGCAGCAUGUGUGAAGUGCCUAACUUUUGACGUUUUGGUGGUGGUUUUGGAUUAGGCCCUGUUUAGUUUUCCACCCAAAAUUUUUUCAUCUAUCCCAUCUAAUUUUUGAACACAUGCAUGAAACAUUAAAUAUACAUAAAAAAUAAACUAAUUAUACAGUUUGGUUGAAAAUCGCGAGACGAAUCUUUUAAGCCUAGUUACUCCAUGAUUAGCCUUAAGUGCUACAGUAACCCACACGUGCUAAUGACAGAUUAAUUAUACUUAAUAGAUUUGUCUUGCAGUUUCCUGGCGAGCUAUGUAAUUUGUUUUUUUAUUAGUUUCUAAAAACUCCUACCGACAUCCUUCCGACACAUCCGAUGUGACACCCAAAAAAUUUUCAUCUCUAAUCUAAAUAGAGCGGUGACCCAUGGUCUGAUUGAGACGUGUAUCUCUACUGCUGCUUUUGGUAGUGGCAUCCAGUGAUCAACUCCCCUCGCUAUCUAUCGCUAGUCAACCAUAUUGUUUUCAGUGGAACAUUCCGUGUGCUAGACUAGAAUGUGCUGGAACCAGCGAUGAACGAGUGUUUGGUCAGUUGGUCAUCACUGAUGACCACUAUUUGGUGGUGUACAAACAUUCUCCUGAAAAAAAAAAAAGUUUAGAGCAGGCCCAGUCUUUUCAAGCACAGAUUAAGAAAACUUUUGCAAGUAGUACUAGUGCAAAAGCAAGCAUAUGUAGGCUUUUCUCUAUUCCCUUCUUUUCACCACCACACUCCGUCUGAUCCGAAUCCUUCCAUCAAUCUAGCUCAGCUCGCCGGCAGGAGUGGUCACUAGUAGCUGGUCAGUUGGAACGUCGUCGGUACAUGCCCGCGGCUCACGGGCACGCACCAAACUCUCACGUCUCACCAAAGAGCUCCUGCCUGCCUGCACUUCACAUGGGAAACAGGACGUCCCUGCUUCCUUUUGGUUGGAUUCGACGUGGAAAUAAUUACACCAGCAAAAUCCAGGACGUGCAUCAGUGCGUGAGUGCAUGGCAUGCAUGGAAUCAUGGCUGCUGCCAUAGCUCCCACGCUGCAGCGCCAGGCCUCUGCUCUGUGCCUCUGCCUCCUCACUGAGUCGCUGGUCGCUGCAUGCAAGCCGCCUGCCUCUCUCGCUUGUUGCUGAAUCUGACGACCGCUAGAGAGGCAGCAAAGGAUCGAAUCAGCAAAGGAUGCAUGGGCGCAUGGGGAGAUGAUGGAUGGAUGGGGAGGCCAUGACACAGUUGACAGCUUUCACGGUCCAUGUUCUUGCCCGGCGGACAGACGCCCCGGCGGUUUGCUUCACUGCCGGCCUUGUUUGCGAGCCCCUAUUUCUACAUCCAGAUCGAUCACCACACGUAUGCGUGUGAUGGAUGGUUGUUGUGCCUUUUCCUCGCAGUAUCCCCACCUACCUAUACCUGUUCUACCAUGAAUACAGUUACGCACGCUCUUUGUUUCGUUGUGCCCUUUGAAGGUAGCUGUACUGUACUUAGGUUAAAAAAACUGUACUGUACUUUGCUGCAGAGACCUGAACGUAGAGAUCAUGAGUCUCACGUUUAUUACGUAGGGUUUUCUACUACGAAAUGGAAGUUUGAAUAGCUUAUGGAACAGCAAAAGACAUCGCGCAUUCUGAUGAUCUUUUGAACGCAAGCAUUCUGAUGAUCUGAUCUCUGAACUCCGUACGAUGGUCUAUCAUCAUAUGCGACACCAGCAGCAUGGCGUACUGUCCUCCGGCCUGGAACGGUGUUACUGAAUGUUACCCUUCUGCUCCCCUUUUCCCCAGUCCAGCCUCUUUCGUAUCGCCAUUCACCAGAGGCCGGGGAACAGGCUACACGCGCGCGCGGAUUCUCGCAACGCCGAGAAUCCUUGAAAUGCACCGUUAGAAAUUGGGAUUUAUGGCUCGUGGCUACUGGCUGUGGCUUUCAGGAAUCAGGAUUUUAAUUAGGAGUGUUUGCCCUGCAUCGUCAGUCUCCAACCUCGGUCGGGCACGUCGUAGCUGAGACUGUCUUAAAACUUAUCUUUGGGCCUACGGCCCACGCCAUAACCCAAGACAGCCCAAGCUCGAUGCUGCACGCUACCAGCAACGGCCCAAGCUGGAAAAGGCCGGCCUCUGCAACGGAAUACUACAUGAGAAACAAAUUAAAGGGCAUAAAAAAAAACAAAAUGACCAAUGGACCUCAUAGACCUGGAUCAUUAAAGUAUAAAGUAGUUCCCACAUAGACCUUAUAGACCGCGAUCAUAGACGUCCAUUGCACACUCCUAACUAAUGAUCGCUUGAAUGAUCUCCUAAUCACACAUAUAUACAUGCAAUUUGCAAACUAUUCAAACCACUGCUACUACUACUUUCCAAAAAGUCCACUGCUGAAAAAGAAAACUCUCCAAAUUAAGCUUUAUGCCCGAUAGAUCGAUCAAGUCCUCCUUGGCACGAGGCGCGGGCGCAGCGGCUUCUUCAUGACGGUGGUGAACUCGCUCUUCUCCCCGAACUCCACCUCGUGGCCGGGCGCCUCUCUCCACUCGAACUCCCUCACCAUGUUGGCAACGAAGAACUCGAGGUGCAGCAUGGCGAUGGACAGCCCGGCGCAGAUCCUCCGCCCCACGCCGAACGGCAUCAUCCUGAUCCCCUUGGUGCCCGUCAUGUCCACGCCCACGCCGUCGCCGCCCUCCAGGAACCGCUCCGGGACGAACUCCAUCGGCCUCUCCCACUCCUGCUCGUCCCGGCCCAUCUCGGCCACCAUGAAGUUCACCGUCGCGCCCUUGGGGAUCAGGUACCCGCCGACGUCCAUGUCCUCGGCGGCCUUGUGCGGAAGCACGAAGUGGCCCGGCGGGUGCUUGCGCAGGCCCUCCAGGAUCACCGCCUUAAGGUACGGCAUCCCGUGCACGGCCUCCUCCGAGACCGCCUCGUCGUCGUCGCCGCACGUGGCCUUGAUCUCCGCGUGCAGCCGGUCUUGCACGGCCGGGUUCUUCACAAGCUCGGCCAUGAUCCACUGCAGGCCCGUGGAGGUGGUGUCGGUGCCGGCGGUGAGGAACUCGGAGCAGAGCGUGACGAUCUCGUCGUCGGUGAGCGCGCGGUGGCCUUCCUCCGCGGGGAGCGUGAUGUCGAGCAGGGUGUCCACGUACGAGUGCUGGAACGUGGUCUCCCUCGCCGGCGCCUGGCCGGCCUUGGCCUGCCGCUUGUACUCGCGGCGAGCGUUGAUGAGCGGCACGAAGAGCUCCGCCUGGCGCCGGCGCAGGGCGCGCGCGGUCUGCAGGCGGCCGCGGAAGACGUGCCUGGUGACGGACGGGAAGAAGAAGAAGACGCUCAUCUGCUGGGAGAUGUAGAGCAGCCACGUGCGCUCGGCGUCCUCGAUGGCGCGCACCGCGGGCUCGUCCAGCCGCUCGCCGAAGCACAUGAGCACGAGGAGGCAGAACAUGGUGUAGCGGAACGCCUCCAUGACGUCGCCGGCACCACUUCCCGCCCGCAGCUUGUCCAUGAGGACGCCGCGCACCCAGGCGCGCGCGGGCGCGAACAGCCUGACGCGCGACGGGUGCAGCGUCUCGGCGACGAGGUUGCGGCGCAGGAGGCGCCACACGGGCCCGUAGUCGGCGCGGGUGAUGAUGUUGUCGCUGACGCCCAGGAGCGAGCUCGUGGCGGCCUGCGGACGGUUCGCCAUCGUGACGGCGCCGGCGCCCACGAGCGCGGCGUGCGCGAGGCGGCGGUCCGCCACGAAGAUGGCGAGCCGGGAGCCCAUCCGGAGCGUCACGACGGGGCCGUACCGCUUGAAGAGCUUCCGCAGCAGGGGCUCCACGUCCGCCGCGGAGUUCCUCAGCCACAGAAGGUUGCCGAACAGCGGCACGGCCGGGGGACCCGGCGGCAGGCGGCGGUUCUUGGCGUGGCGGCGCAGGACGAGGAGCGAGGAGAGCAGGAGGCCGCCCGCGAGGACGAGCCAGCUGAUCUCCAUGGGGAAGUGUCGUGUGUUUUGCGACGAAACUAUGUUCGCGUUGAUGUUUAUCGUAUGAUGAUGAUGAGGAGAUUAGACGAACGGGAUUCCAGAUUAAUUUUAUAGUGGGGUUUCGUACGUGGAGUCCCGAGUCCGUACAACAUGGCGAGUUCGAUAUGGUUUCGACCUGGUUUCAUGUUGGGAUAAGGUCUGAUUCUGAAACGUGGUUUACUAGCUAGAGACACGGUAGCAACGGGCAAGGCCUAUGGUCUGUCCGUGUUGAACACGUUCAGGCGAGUUCGUCCGGGACACGGUAGCAACGGCCAAGGCCAUCUAUCAUCUGUCCUUGUUGCACACGUGCAGGCGAGUGUAUGGUGGUUGGGAAGUUGUUUUGGGACCUAUAGAUCGGGAGGUUUUACUCCUCACUUUCAAAAGGAAAGGUCACUGAUGUGCCAUUAAAUACUAGUACUAGUAGUCAAUCAUCAUUCUUUUACAAUAAAUUAUUAUAAGGGCAGUCCCAAUAAAAGAAACCAAGUAGUUUCUAUAGUUUAGAAUACCGUAUCAAGAAACUACUCUUUCCCAAUCCAUGAUUUCUAUAGCAGUGCUAAUACAAAGAAUGAAUUAAAUGCAACAUUUAGAAGAAGCAGAUCAACUGUGGCAGAGAACCACGCAGCCUACAAACAUCGCUUCGACUGACGGCCUGACGAAGGGACGGGUAGCAGCGGCGCAAGCGCAAGGGAUCCUGGGAUGAGCAAGAAGAAACGACUUGGGUCUCCCCAAUGCAGAUUCGCCAGUUUCUUAGCCCAUCGGUGCGUGUGAAGACUCGGUUUCCUCUCCAGGAAACGGUUUCUUUCUUUUCCCUUCUCUCUCCGUAAUAAAUCUACUGCCACAUCAGCAAAUUCCUUAGUUGGCACAACAAUUAAUAGAGAUAGAAACUACAAUAAAUAUACCAUUGGGACUGCCCUAACCAGCACAAGCUAAAUUUGAGCGAAACUAUCUCACACCAUACAACUCUCCAUGGUUCGUCAAUUCCAUUCUCCCACGUGUGACUCAACUCCUCUCAGACUCGAGGAGGGAGUAAUAAGGGCAGUCCCAAUGAUGUAUUUAUGAUAGUUUCUAUCUCUAUUAAUUAUCCUGCCAACUAAGCAAAUUGCUGAUGUGGCAGUAGAUUUAAUACAGAGAGAGAAGAGGAAACCAAGAAACCGUUUCCUUGAUAGGAAACGAAGUCUUCUCAGGUACCGAUGCGUGAGGAACGACGCAAACCGCGUUGGAAAGAAACUGAUCGUUUCCUUCCUUAAUGGCCUGGAUCUCAUGCUCCAGUUGCGUGCGCUCGCUGAAAGCCCUCGUUCGCAUCCUGCUGCUACUUCUCCUUGCGCAGCUCUCGUUGAUGGCCCUCGUAAGUUCCACGUAUGGAACCAUCCACCUCCUUUGCCUUCGCCUCCUACGCCAGCGGUGGAGCCAGCCUCACAGGAGCCCGAGGCGGCAGGCGCCCUGCCGGCAAGGGCCUCGGCGCUCGGUUCCGUGCCAUGGUCAGGCGCUUUCACCUAUUUUGUGCGUAUUGUUCAAACCUCUGUCAAGCACUGGAAAAUUGAAAGAAAAGGCAACUGCACAGAGGAUCCACAGAUGGGAGAGAGGAACACGUUCGAUGAUUGAGAAAAAUUUAUAUCUAGACUCUAGUAACAAAUUUUGCAUUGGAGAGAAUAGUUUCUUGGUACAUUAUCCUAGACUAUAGAAACUGCUAUGAUUUCUUCCAUUGGGACUGCUCUAAGUAGAUCAAGGUCUAAUAUUAAUAUCAAUAUCUAUAUCAAAUAUCAAGGAGACAAAUUUAUUUCCAUUCAUUUUCUUCAUCCACCUUCCCCUAACUACCGAAACAGUAGAGGUUGUCUCAUAUUUCACAUGUGACCUGGACUCAUCACCGAUACUCAUACGGGUUAGGACAACUCGCGUCUAGUGAUAAUGAAUAUAGAGUCCGAUUCUAAUACGUGUCACACCCUCAUAUCUUUUAUGUGACCUAAACUCAUGAUGUGUGUUUAUUCAUAUGUGUUGGAAUAACUUGCAUCUAGUGACAAUACAGAGUUGUAUUUCUAUGGGUUUUAUUGCAACGCAUGAGCAUGCUUCGUGAUAAAAGAAUAGAGAAAUAAACUCUUAACAGUAUACCUUUAGAGAGAGUGAUUCCACCGUCAAACUAUUGUAAUGUUGUGAAUUUGAUGCACAAGUCAUCCUGUUAAAACAUAAGCUGGCAGUGUAAGCACUGGUUUAUUUUUAGCUUUAACAUCUUUCUAUUCUAGCAUUCCAAACACCAAUUCCAAUGAACUGCCUUCCAUUCCUCUAUUUUCGAUUCCUACAUUCCAAAUAGGCCUGGAUUGUGCAAAGAAAGGAAGAGUGUCAUCACAUAAUAUGUGUUUGUAUGCCUUCUCAAUUUGCAUCGUACUUGAAUGAGUGUAAGCAUACUACAUGGAUGUAGUCUGGAUAGAAAAGUGUUUAAUCGAUUGCAUGGUUAAGGGCCUGUUUGGUUGGAGCUGUUAAAGUUUAAUACUGUUGUAUUUUUGUUUUAUUUAGCAAUUAGUGUUCAAUUAUGGACUAAUUAGGCUCAAAAGAUUUGCUUCAUAAAUUAUUCUCUAGUUGUGAUUUUAGUUUCAUAAAUAGUCUAUAUUUAAUACUCUAUGCAUAUGUCUAAACUUUCAAUGUAACGAGAGUUAAAGUUUAACGUGAUGAACUAAACAAAGCCUAAAUAUCUCAUUUUGAGGUUGCAAUGACCCUAAAUGAUGUUUGGUUGUCUACACGUGCGGAUACAGUGAUCCCUACACAUAGGACAGACAUGCAGGCCCAUAAGAUGCAAAACACCCAUUGGGCGUACCUGAUCAGUCGCUAUAUACAUAUAACGACGGCUUCAUUAGCAACUGCAAAUGUUCGUUGUUGUAACCUUUAGCAACUGACUGUCUAUCGCUGUAUACCCCUUUUAACAACUUCAAAUCAGUCGCCGUUUAAAGGUUGUGGUGUAGUAUGAGCGGAGUAGUUUAAUUUGUGUAUAUCACUCAUGAGGUAUGAUACUUUAUUUCUAUCCAUUUAUGCAACCGGUGUAUCCACUCAUACGGGAUGGUGACUUAUUUCCGCAUCCGCUCGUGCACAUUGCGUGUAUCUAGUGCUCCCAUGCUCCCAAUUCGGCGAACUCCUGCCCACCUGGAUUUAAGUCCCUGACUUGACAUGAAUGCUUGUAUUUUCCUAGAUUUAUUCUAGGAUUUAACAGCGCUAUGCUUUCAGUGGUAGACGAUAUGCCCAUCGACAAUGAGACGUCUAUGGUGACUUCAUCAAUCUCAAAAUUUUUGCCGGUCCAACUCGGUUCUUCGGAGGUGCUACGCGCUCUAGGGGUGCGUGUGCGCUCGUGUAUAUAAGCGUCUACGUCUGUAACUGGGUCUCGCAAAAAAAGAAAGACCCAUCAAGCGGGAAAAAACAACGAACAAUAUGCAUAGGUAGAUAUAUAGUUGCAUGAACUUGCAAAAAUUGAGGACGAAUAGAACUUUGGGCAAGGCGCAUGUAUCAUCAACCCACCCAUAUAUACUUUUGGUUAUUUUUUACGGAGAAGCUAUAUACCACACACGGGUUUUGGAACAAUCUAACACUCAAUUUAAAGCAUCAGCCAUCUCCCAUAGUCUGAUUUGGAGCGUCCGCAACACGCUCGCAAGCUAGAGGAGGAAGAUGAAUAGUGCUAACAAAAUCGGGUGUGGUGCAGGGGCCAGAACACCAGAUUGCUAUAUAGACUAGACACACAGUUUUUAUGUAUGUCACAUAUCCACCCAUGCAGGAUGAUCGCAUGCGGGGAAGCAAACAUAUGUCAACGGCUACCAUCAGUUUAGUACCCUUCAUGACUAGCUACCCACUUCGUUUGGCUACAAAUUCUUACUCCUUCGAAAACUUGAUUGCAUAUCAUUCUUGUUCAUUCCAUCUCAUGUUCUCCCUCAUGACGCAACGAUGUUCACAGUGCUACUAGAAAACCAUUGUACAGAGCGCCAACUGCCUGAUCUUGUAGGACAUUCGAAGAAAAACACUCUCUUCUCCCUGUGCAGGAAGAAAAACUCUAUUUCUGCUGUUGCAGCUUCCCAACUGAGUGCAGGUACACAGAGAUAGAAACGACCCUGAAAAUCAAUAAGACACAAGAGCUUGUUAAAUUAACAUGGAUUACAACCGUAGUCUAGUCAACAGAAGUUGCGACCGUGCUUCCAUGAGCACUUACGUGGAUCCAAGCAAGAACGCAAGAGACAGGUGGAAGCCAAAUAAGAAGACGGAUAUUCCUGCCGUCAGAAGCAUUGCAACUGAUGUUGAGUAAACCUGUGUCACAUGGUGAUAUGAAAAGUUUGUUAGAUGCCUCAGCACGUAGUUAUAUAGACAAUUCAUUAUAUCCAUGGUGAGACAUUUUGGUGAAUCUUAGUGGUGCCUCAAAUAUCAGACGAUUUGAAAUCUAGACACUGGACUGAUGUGUUAUAGUCGUGGAUUCGUGGUGUUGCUUCUACAAUGGACAAAGGGAUCAUAUUAAAAUAGUUUUUUUCAGAAAAAAAGAAAACCUCCUUGUUAUCCAUCAAGCUGUUGUGACGCAAGUUGUGCUGCUACUGGAUCACGAAAUAUGACAUUUUCUGAAGUGGUAACUAAUGUAAUCGUGCACGUAAACCAGAAUAGACAUGUUGACAUAUCGAGAAUAGACAUGGUGACGGCGUGAAGGAUCUUCGGUGGGUUAAAAAAUUGUGAUUAUCUCUAACCCUAACCCUAAUCCAUACCAUGUUACUAACCUUGAGAUUAGAGAAGAUAAAAUACUUCAUUAGUGGAGAAGACAAUAUAUAGAAAGCCUCAUGGGUCUAUAAGAUGGGCCUUUGAUGUAUACUUAACAGAUGCAUCAGUUAUACAUUUGGUGUAAUUUCGAUGAAGAUUGGAACUACAAGUACAGCUAGUGAAGGCUCUAGAAGAGUUACUUAUUUUGCCAUGCAAAAAAGCAAAACAAAAAGGACAUGCUCCAAAUGGGAAACAACAGGAUGACAAACAUUCAGAUGAUAACAACUCCGGCUGUAAGAACAGGCUACAAAAUAACUAAAUUGGAAGCCGGAGUCCCAGUAGGGGCAACAGCCAACAUAGUGAUGUUUGUAGAAAAGAGAGUAAUUAGGUUACUUACAACACAUUCAUUUAACCUUGAAAUAAGCUGCUGAGCUUCAGACCUACACUAUUUGCACUUGCACACACAUGUAACUGAAAAGAUAGUAGCGAGUACCUUGACAAUAUUGUCAGCAUAUUUCAUCACCAUUGAUACAGCAAUUCCACUGCAAAGCAAAUAUAAAUACUCGAUUUGAUUGGGAAGAAAAUAAAAAGGAUGCAGCUAAGCCCAACAGGGCAAUAGUGAAAACAAAAACGAUCUAACUGUCAGUACCUCAGAGCAUGGUUAAGAAUCAUCAAAACUGUAAUAAAUGAGUAGCCAUGGAAAAAGCCUCUGCACCAGAUGGCACAUUCAAAUGGAAUGGUCAAUAUCAUGAAGACAUGAAUGAAGCAAAUAAAAAAUUUUGCACUGACUUGUUCAUGACAGCAUCGAAGUCCUGGACACAAAUUGCAACUAAAUUGAAGAGCAUCCCAAAUAUGUACAGCCAAAAAUUCUGCGCAUUGAUAUUUCUUGAAGGACGUUUCUUGAUGAUAACCUGGAUUAUUAAAAAUAUGAAGGAAUAUAUUACAUUCCUAAAGAAACUCAUUAACAUUUUGUAUCAAAUGUAUUUUCCAAAAAAAACUAUAAUUCAAAUGAAAAGAGGAGCAGUAGUAUGGAUUCACAAACUUCUGUAUAUACUCCUGCAAAACCACUUAGAAGAGCCAUCACCUGCAAAAAAGAGCAUUCAGGUAGUUGUUAAACACUUCCUCUAGCACGUCCAAAAGACGGGAUGAUAUUUUUUCUGCUUCACUCACAAUUGCCAUCGCCCAACCUUGAAUAGGGGUCUGAAGAACGUGAUCUGACCUGGAAAAGGACAGAUAAGAAAAGAAUGAGGGGGAGAAAACGUUGAGCAAACAAUAAAAAGAAUGAGGGGGGAAAACGUGUUUAGCUUACGAGGGACUGAGCUGAGCAGUAGUGCAGCCAGCACAUAAAAGAAUAAAUGCAGCCCACUGAAUUUCACUUAACCUACAUUAGUUCAACCAUCCUAAAUUAAAAAUGGAAAGCAGGUGCUGGGGAAGAAAAUAUUAAAAAAAAUGGAAGGAAUUGUAAGAUUAGAUUAGACUCAGAGAUAGUAGAUUGAUUAUGGGGAACAAGGUGUUACACAUAUAUAGGCAAGGAUGGCCAGGUUCAUAGAAACAGAACCACCGGUUGAUCCUUGUCUAAUAGAUAUCAAUCUAUCUAUCCUAACCAUAUGGGGCGAGGACCAAUAGAGACGCGCAGCAGCUGUACCCUUUAUCUAACAGGAAUGAAGUGGAAAACAAGAGAGGUUUUGUUAUGAUGGCCAGUUAGGAGGGUGGCAAGGUAUUAGAUUCAACAAAUGCACCAAUUUCAGAUGAGUUAGGAUUUGCAUAGUCCAUUAAGCAGCCAGUUUCUCAAGUUAAACACUUCAUUUUUUUUAAGUAAUGGCAGGAGAUCUGCCUUUCAAUUAAGAGGGGUUUAAAAGAGUUUUAUAUGUACAAGCAAAGGAACACGCCCCUCAUGGGCAGGAACAGGAAAGAAUAAAAUGCCCCUAGCCAAAAGCUCUCUUUCUCUGCUCUAUGUCGUCUUUAACUCUCGCCGCUACCUGCCAUACUGUUUCGGCCGUGUUGUUGAAGAUUAUAUGUUCCUUUCUUUCCAGAGGUCCAGAAGGUGUAUAUCACUAUGCCAUUAAACCGCCUGCGCUCUGCUUUAGGCGCUUUCCUUGUGGUCUCCUCCCACCAAGGUGUGAUCUGUAUGGGGUCAGCUUGCUGUUGCCCCAGCAGUCCAUCAAAGUGUUCCCAUGCAAGAAUUUGGUUCCAGACCGCCUUAGCAAAGGGACAACCUAGGCACAAGUGUGCUCCGGUCUCCAGCGGCCCAUUUAGAGGACGCAGUGGUCUUGAUGUGGCCACCCUCUUUUCUGCAAGUUGUCUGCCGUUAGGAGUUUUCCAUGUGUUAGGAUCCAGGCGAAUACCUUGCAUUUAUUUUCCACAUGUGCUUUCCAAAUUUGAUCACAUCGAAAUCUUGUGAAGGAACCUCUGAAUUGGAUCCGGUAUGCUGAGCGAGUGCUGUAAUUGCCAUUCGGUGUCCAUUUCCAAGUGGAGUCUCUAACGCCUUGAUGUAGAUGUACACAUCCCAUCCUGGAUUCUGGUCCAAAGGGAUACGAACUCCUCAAUGUGAGUGGCUGAGGUGAUAUGUCUUCUCAAGGAGUGCAUCCAAUUGUUGUUUCAAUUUGCACCGUCACCUAUACAGUACGGAUUCAAGCCUAAUAUAUGAUGACUAUUUAUUUUACAGAUUGAACUUCAGCACAACUCGCUCAUCACAGAACUAUAAUCUGUGUCUUCCAGCUUUAGCAUACAACAUUGCAUCAAAGAUUUCAAAUGAAAGCGAACAAAAUGACAUAGUGGAUAUCUUGUCACCAGAGAAAACUGACGAAACAGAACAAGGUCAUUAGACUUACCUUUUCUUGAGAAUUAUACGGUACAGGACACCAGUGCUGAUAAUGUUCAAAUUCUUUAGAAUCUGGUAAGCUGGCGCAUCCACAUAUGCAAAGAUAUAAUACUGACAACCACAGAAGCAGGGAAAACAUGGUUAUGUUUUGUUUAUUUUUGUUUUCUUUUUCUUUUAAAAAAAAUCCUACAACAAAGGACUGGGCAACUGGACAUACCUGCAAUAAGUUCUUCACCAGGUAAAGCAUUGCAGGAAUGGGGUAAACUCUAACUUCAUCAAACGAUGUAGUUAACCUGAAAUUAAUAAAACCAAAGGUCUAGAAGGUGGAAGAAAACACGCACCUAAUAUGUUCUAUCGACAACGACAAACAUGGUAAAAUCAUCACCUAUUAUCUUCUGUAACACCUUGACUGUUCCAUGUCCCGUACAAGGCUACAAGUGACAGUAGACAUUUCAAAGCUUCCACCUAGACAUUGAGAAAAGAGAACAAAUAACCACAUCACAAUACUCAAAACUCCUGAAGAUACAGUCACUGAGAGAAUUCAAGCAUUUUGCUCACCGAAAAAUUUGCUGUUGUGAUACUAUAUUCAUACUUUCCAGCUCUUUUCGACCAUACAAUCAAUAUUGCCUGGGAACUUGUUAGCAAUGUCAAUGCCAGUGUAACAACAGACCUGAAAAACACAUUGCCAAUACAACAAACGAUUUUCAGAAAGAAUGAGAUUUAGUAAAAAAUAUUGCAAGAAAGCCUUACUUUAGCUUCCAACUACCCUUGCCCUUCGGCCCUCCUGCAGUGCUAAGACUCGAAGUUGCUGUAUCUGUAAAUGGUAUAGGUAUUAAUGCUAAGAAUCUCCCAUAUACAGCCCAUCCGAAAAAAGAACAUUUGCAUGAUGAAUCAAGAGCUUACUGCUAGAAAGAGAUCUCCUAUCAAAGCUCUCUAUGUCCUUCUGAGAUACGUCAUCACUCUCCUUUUCGACGGGUCAGACAAAAUAAAGACAGCGAUCAGUGCAUGUUCUGUUAUUGAAGUACAAGAUUAUUGUAGGCUAUUUUUAAAAAAAGGAAAGGAACUAAGCUAUUGCCAGCGUUUAACUUUAUGUAUGUAUGACCAAUGACAAACAUCAGCAAGAAAAAAAGUACAGGACAAAUAUAAAUUGAAUUUGGUGUCUAUUUUCACUACACAUAAUAGCGGGCACAAAUUAUGUAUAUUACGAAACAAAAGAUGGGUGUCCAUACUCUUUCGCACGGCCACUUCGAGGGUGCUACUCAAUGGACAGCAUGGACCUACUCUUGAUCAUGCCAGAGGAGUACGACAAGGCGACCCUCUAUCGCCCAUGUUGUUCAUCCUGGCCAUGGACCCCUUGCAGCGUCUUCUCGACCUGGCAACCCAACAUGGGACUCUCUCACCGCUACCCCUGACUGCCACUAGAUGGAGGACCUCUCUAUAUGCAGAUGAUGCGGCCAUCUUUAUAAAUCCGCGAAAAGAAGAUCUAGAGACAGUCAAGGCGAUCCUCCUCGCCUUUGGAAAUUUCUCAGGCCUCCACAUAAAUCUUGAAAAAAGCUCCAUCCACCCAAUUAGAUGCGAGGAGGUCGACCUGGAUCACGUGCUCUCCUCCUUUGCAGGGAUCAGAGGCACCUUCCCUUGCCGUUAUCUGGGUUUGCUGCUCCACACGCGUGCGCUUCGGAAGGUCCAUGUACAGCCCCUAAUCGAACGCAUCGGUCAAAGACUUCCUAGAUGGAAAGGAAGAUGGCUCAACAAAGCUGGCCGCCUCACCUUAGUCUCGUCAGUCCUCUCAUCCAUGCCCACUUACCACCUCACGGUGUUCCCGCUCGCGGCUUGGGCAAGGAAAAAAAUAGAUAAAAUAAGGAGAUCUUUUCUUUGGAAAGGAGAAGAAAACACAAAUGGAGGACAUUGCUUGGUCAAUUGGCCGACAGUAUCAAGGCCCAAAGACCUGGGCGGGCUAGGGAUACUAGACUUAGAGAGGUUUGGAAGAGCUCUCCGUCUACGCUGGCUAUGGCAAGAUUGGGUGGAAGAGUCCAAACCUUGGGCGGAUGCGGAAUUACCUUGCAACGACCUUGAUCGGCUGCUCUUCAAUGCAUCAACAAAAAUCACAAUUGGUGAUGGUGAAAAGGCCCGCUUCUGGCACAGCAGUUGGUUGGACGGCGAGGCCCCAAGACAUCUAGCGCCCCACUUGUUCGAGCUAGUCAAAAGGAAAAACAGGUCGGUCAAGCUUGAACUUCAAAACAAUAACUGGUUUCGAUCUCUAAGCGGCCGAAUCACCACCGUUGUCCAAGUUGAAGAAUUUGUCUCCCUGUGGGUCAGAAUCCAAAACAUCCACCUCACACCGGGCGUUCGGGACUCCAUUAUUUGGAGAUGGACAGCUGACGGCACUUACUCCACCAGGUCAGCUUACAGGAUACAGUUCAAAGGUUCCUAUGGGGGCUUCCGGAGCAACCUCAUCUGGAAGGCUCAUGCAGAAAACAAAUGUAAAGUGUUCGUUUGGAUUCUGGUGAGAGGAAAAAUCCUCACGGCGGAUAACCUGCAAAAGAGAGGAUGGCCACAUCAAGACCACUGCGCUUUGUGCGGUGGCCCACUUGAGACAGGGCUGCACAUGGCACUACUCUGCCCAUUCGCCAAAGCAGUAUGGAGCCUUAUUCUACAAUGGGAGCACUUCGAUGCCCAAUUGAUCCUACCAUCUCAAGAUCCAACCCUUUUAAGCUCAUGGUGGGAAGAGGCCGAAACCAAGAUAACUAAGGGGGAAAGAAAUCGUUUCAACGGUAUGGUGAUCUUCACUUUCUGGAAUAUCUGGAAGGAGAGGAACAGAAGAAUUUUCAACAACGUCCAUGAAUCGGCAAUGCAAGUGGCUGCAAGGACCAAAGAGGAUAUCGAGCAAAGGAAGAGAGCACUAAAUUGGAGGGGGUAGUAUAUAAGCAAAAUCUGUAACUGUUUCUUUUUACCCUCCAAGACCUUUGUGUACAUAAACUCUUUUUUCCUCUCUUAAUUGAAAGGCAGAGCUCCUGCCAUUGCGUUCAAAAAAAAAAAAAAAAAAAAAAAAAAAAAAAAAAAAAAACGAAACAAAAGAUGAACCAGAUGGCUUCUGUAUAACAAAAGCUCCGACAAUUGCAAGCACAUGGAUGGAUAGAAAUGCUGCAUUCACAAACUCAGCCGUUAAAUAAACAAAUGUAAAUUUAACAAAUAAAUUCGUAAAUUACAUAAUUAAUGUUAGCAUGAUGUUAACAACUUGUAGUCAGCCAUGAGCAAUAUACACUGAUCGAAUAAUCACUCACCUGCUAAUGACUACAUGAGUACAUACCAUCUACCAGAAUCAACAGUUAAUGGGAGUGAAGCAGGCAACUGUGCCUAGAUGAGAAAUAUGAGAUUGAGACUUCAAAUAAGACAAAAACGAACCAAAAAUGCUCACAGAUGUAUUUCAGUUUUAUUUCAGUCACAAAUAUAUAUUAAAAAAGGAGAGGAAUUCAUCUAACUCGAUCAACACAUUUUGCUAUGGAAAGCCCCCAAUCUCGCAGAAUUAGGGAGGUUAAACUUGAGAGGGAUAGAUAAAAUCGAGAUUGCGGUUGCGGCGGUGGUGAGGAACGAAGCGAAAACCUAUGGAGAGAGACCAAACAGGUUUGAAGAAACCACCGCCGCAGCAGCGACGGCCGAUGUAAUCUAAAAUGGAGAUUCGAGCGGCGGCAUUGCUGUAGAUAAACAUAGAGGGCUCAUGCUUACCUGAUCCUUCACUCUUCUGUGCUCCAUCUCUUCCCCACGAGCGGCGAGCCGGCUCUGCAGUUCUGCUACUGCGUUUUCUUUCACAGGAAGGAAGGAAUACUGCAGACGUGAGGGACUGCGGGCGGCGGCGAAGGGCUGGCUGGGCAAGCACCGCUGCACGCUGGGUCUCGUGUAGUCGUCUGUGUGAUCAAGUCGUAACUGAUAGGCAGCGACGUGUGGCGUACCUAGCUGGCGAAAAAAAAGGCAAUAUUUUACAAGUUGGGUACAUACAGUAAUUAUGGGCAGUAAAUAACUUUUUGGAAGGAUGUAUUAUGGCUUCUUCAGUGACUGUUCAAACUGACUCAUGCUGACAUCCAGUGAAUCGAUACAUGACCAUUAGAGGUCUACCAAUGCAUACACAUUCUCAUAAACCAGCUCCUAAACAUAAGUUGUGUGAAUACAACGGCUAACCAUUAUCUAUUGCCUAGCUAGUCGUUGUGCAACUCUCCUAUCUAUUUCACAACGACUCUCCUCUCCAUUCCACAAAACACAAACAGCAGGUAAGCGUUCUUCCCUCUCCAUCUCAUAAAACAAAAGCUCUGCUUGUGUUUUGUGAAAUGGGGAGGAGAGCCAAGCACUUUGUAUCUGCUGCUUGCAUUGAAAUGGAGAGGAGAGAGCACUUGUAUUUGUUGCUUGCGUUUUGUGAAAUUGAAAUGCCAUUUGUGCUUUUUGUAGAGCAAUGAGACGACUAGCUGUGAAAUGGACAACCGUCAGAUAGUUGGCAGUUGUAUUCACAGUGCUGAUAAGUAUGUGUGCAUUGACAAUGUUUAGAGUCGAUUUCUCAUAAUAUGUAUGCAUCGGUAGACCUCCAGUGGUCAUACAUCGAUUCAUUGGAUGCUGCUCAUCCUAUGAUUCGAUGCAGAGUCCAUAGGAGAAGCCCUUAGGAAGCCUAAACAGUUUGACAAAGUUUAUCUCAAGCAAAGUUUAUAGGUGAAUUAUGAUCGAAAGCAAUUAAGAAGCCCAAACUUAAACACUUCAGCAUCUAUUCAGUUAAAUACAUGCACCAAACAUCUCUCUUCAAGCAUUCCUAGCUUCAGGCCUAGAGAUAUUCCUCUUUAACUCCAUACCCAUAAAGAAAGCCGUUUAGUACAACAGUCUCCAAAGUCUAACUUUGACUCCUUGUUUUUAUAAAAAUAUUUAUCAAAAAGUGGUAUAGAUAUAUUUUUAUAAAAGUAUUUUUCAAAACAAAUCUAUUUAUAUUUAUAUUACCAAUGUUUGACUCAAACCUUGUUCAAAACAACUUGCUUCAUGAGUAUGGAGGGAGUAUGUGAAGAAUCCUGAGUCAUGGUGACCGAUUGUUGUGCUAACGGGGAGCGAAAUGUGAAUUUCAAAAGAAGCCGUACAGAGAACGAUGUUCACCAAGUGAGUGACACGUUGGGUAACCUGAAAGGCCACUCUAAAACGAUAAGAAUGAGGCCUGUUGCUUUGUCCAAAAAAAAAGAGAGGCUUGUUUGAAUUCUGGUCUAAAGUUUAGCCGAUAAAUUUUAGACUGUUUUAGCUCUUGAAUGUUGUAAAUAGGUUCAGUGUUGUCCAAACUUUAGCUAACCUUAAAAAAGACGCUAGUUCAUUAGACCACACAAGUGAAUUUUGGAAUCUGUUUAGUUUAUGUGGAAAAGAUGUCAUAAGCUGUGAAAAAGCUGUUGUGAGCUAUGUGCUGUAAUAAAGUUGUACGCUGUUUGGUUGAAAUAAGUUCACAGCCACUUGGUGAACAAUCAGUUGAAAGAGCUGCACAUGUCAGUAAGUACAAUAUAGUGAAGUCGCUUUGUAUUCAUGCAACUACAAGUAAUUAAGCGCUCUUUGUUAUAUACAAGGUCGUGUAUCAGUCCAUGAAAUUUCUGUGGCUCCACCUUCAGUUGGUGCAGAGAUUGGAUGGAAACCCAAGAACUCUUAUUAAUUAGGUUUACUUUCAUUUGCACCGACAGAUUCAUCACCUUCUAGGAUGACGACGACAUCAUUCAGGAUCUGAAGAUGAGGCUCUUGCAGCUUGGAGCAUUUCCACAAUUAGUGUUUUAACAUCCCUGUACAACAGUAACAAACCCAUGUCAGAGAACCGGUCAAGGAAUAUUCAGAAAUAACUGCAUUUUAGGCAUCAAUUUUAAAUGGCGUACAAAACAUAGUGAAAGACAAUCGUGAAGAAAAAGCAUCUGGGUUUAAUAGCACACAAAUUAAGGCCUCCUUUGGAACGCAGGAAUUUCACAGGAAUUGUAUAGCAAUUUCAUAGGAAUCAGUUCAUUUUUCAUAGGAAAAGAAGAGCUGUGUCAGAUUAGAAGGCUAAGAGACUCAAGAGUGGGGGACCCACUUCCUGUCUUGCGCCUGCCUUGGGAAGGGGAUACGCAACUUUAGAACACUUCCAUCAUAACCAGCCUGGGCAGCAGAAAUAGGCAUAUUAGAAUUUAUAAGAGAGUUGGAUUUUUUUUUCAAUACAUGAGAACAGAGCCCAUUAAUUAAAGGUGCAAUUGUCUAGCCAAAUAAGUAAAAAUCACAGUCGAACAAAUUGUAUUAUCCAGACCAUAAUAAAGGCCAGAAUAUUGAAAUGUUGCACUUCUGUUAUGAUAUUGUAAUGCUGACCUUGUGGUUACUGAUCCGUUUUUUAGUCCUACUGAUCCGAACUGAGUAGGCAAAAUAUAGCAUAUUAACUUCCAGGUAUUAUUUUGUCUAGUUUAUGGCACUGUUGCCAUUGCAUUAGUCAGUAUCUCAGUAUGACAUUGAGCAGGUACGGGGCAUUUCCAGGACAAAUUAGUAAAGUAUAAGGCACAUGCUGUAAAGAGUUACCUUCACAUUAAAACCAAGGCUGUCCACAUCCAGCAUAUAAGCAAAAUCCACCUGAAUUGCAUUUGUCAUCUUUCAAGUUUCAAUAUAUUUGAAAGCAAUAUUUGGUCAAAAGGGUAACAACACAAAAUGGACAGACUGUAAAAGAAAUUAUGCAAAGCACUGAAGAAUUCCUCCUUUGCUACUAUCCCAUGCUCAUGGGUGAUCAAGAGUUUCAUGACUGCAUUGUACUGAUAGCUAAACACUAUGCACAAUGCUAACUACAGUAAUGAACGCAGUUCUUCGAUGCAGAUUCCAGCAAACCGCAGAAUAACACUUCUGGUUGCCAAGUAUACCGACAGAUAUGCAUAACAAAUAGACUAUAAAGCAAAUGGUUACAUUCAUUUGUAAACUAGUUUGCAAUUUUGAAUGAAUGGUUGGCUGUUUCCCAGUGCAAGAAUUGCACAGUUGCACGCAGAUCUAGCCCUGGAUGAUGUAUCUACCUUUGCACCUGUGUAUUGACAAGCCUGCAAGCAUAUGCUUAAACAGAGUACAGUUUUCACUUUCUGAACUACAAGCAACACAAUGUGUCAAGAACAAAAGAUACACAUACAUGAUCAAUAAAAAGUGCUCGUUACUUAUUUACAGACAUAACUACAUUAUAAAAAAAAUACAGACAGUGCCCUCACCCCUCAGGAAAAGAAUAUUUAGGCACAAUUUUCUUCAAGGUAUAUCAGGUUUUGCAGUAAUAUUAUUGGAAUAAAUACUUUAUUGUUAUAUUGUUGGAACAAAUGCUACAUAAGUAGACUUCAUCAUUUACUUGCCUUAACAGUAGUGGAGUGUUGCACAAUGAGCUUUGUAUCAUCAGCAUGAUCCUUGUUCAUAUGGCUCUGUAGGGCAUAUACGUAAUGGAAGGUUGAAACGUUUAGCGUAAAGCCCAAUAAAUAUAUAAGGGCAAGGAGUAAAGGGAAACAGAAUCCAGACAUACUGUAAUAGGAGUUGAGAAUUGAGAUAUUGGAUCAACGUUAGCUUCCUUGUACUCGGCAGCACCGAAUUCUGGGGAUUUUGACAUUAGGUUAGCAUAUUAGGUAAAAACACUAUCACCAAAUUAUUUUUUGUCAUGUUUACAGAAUUUGACUAAGAUGCAAGUGCAUCUCAGAUAUGUAGUUGCUAUUUAUGCAUCUAUGCUAAUAGUGGGAGGAUAAGUGAACAUGGUUACUCUAAAAAUAUGUGAAUGUUGCAGAACCAUAAACUUCUGCAUCAUGACAGUGUUCCUUUUGGUGACUAGCUUUCCUGUAGGCGAUUCAAAAAGGCACCUACCUCCAGAGCCAAGGAGAGCAGUUGCAACGCCAGAUACAUAGCGCACAGCUUUAGGUUUGAUGUGCAGGAAACUGAAGUCACCAAAGUCAACCUUAAUUUGGCAAAUAAUUCAUCAUAAUCAGUACUCCAUUGAAGUUGGUCUUUGCAACAGUCACAACAUUAAGAAAGUAUACCCAAAAAGCAUCAGGAUGCCUUCUUAGGUAAGCACUUCUCACGGAAUCUUUUUCUUCGUCAGAAACCUGCAAAUAAGAAUAAGGGCGUCAGCAAACACAGUUACUAUCAGUAUCAGGUGACAUGCAAACUAUGAUUUUUUAUCACCAACUUUCUUGCUGGUUUCACCACUAACCUGCACUAACUUGCUUAAGAAUAAGAGAUUUUGCUGUUUUAUGCACAUUAUGAUUUAGCAAUGUAUCUGAAAUGUAACAAGGAAAAGGCAUGAUGAUAUAUCAGUGGGAAAGCAAAGGAGGGAGGAAAUUACAGGAACAGCAUCACCAUAUACAGUGAUUACAGUAUCCGUUCUGUCCUCAGGGUCUUUGGCGACAAGAAGUGAGCAUUUAGGAUUUCCGGAGAGAUUCUGCAAAAUUGGUAGCAAAGCAUAAGGGUCACCAGUGAAAGAAAUAUGUUUACAACUGUUGCCUGUGUUUACUGAAUGUAGACUAGACAAUUAUGCAAUUCAAACAAAUGUUCUAGCAGUGUUAGAUUUGCAUAUUUCUUUGUUCGUCCACACAUGUGCUUCGAUGUAUUUUCCAGUGAUGCUACCAAAUUGUAAGGCAUCCAUGCAUAAUGGACAUGGAAAGGUAAACAAAUAGCUUUGUAUACAGAAUCAUGAAAGCAAAAAAUCACCUUACCUUUGAAUGAACUGCUAAACUACUCACUGCUAAUAUGGGGGAACCAUCUUGAUCACAUGCAAAAUCAACCAUUGAACUAGAUGGAUAACCAGCAUGAUCCUGUAAGCAUAAUAAUAUAUAGUAUGAAAUCUCCGAAAAAGACUAGUAUAAUUCUGCAAGACUACAUAUAUUGGAGUUCUGGAACUAUAAAUUCCAUGUUUAUUUAAACAAAAGAAAACUAUGAGUUUGUCUUCACUCAGAUUUUUAGAUAAAUAUUCUUCGCUGCUAACCAAGUACAAAACUACUCAACUAACCAAGUACAAAACUACUCAACCCGUUCCAAAUUAAAGGAGGCAGUUUAUGACAUGUACAAGUACAAAACUACUCAACCCGUUCUAAAUUAUAAAUUGUUUUAUCUUUUCUAUGUAUAGCUUUUGCUAUGUAUCUAGAGUUCUAGACAUAGUGUAUAUCUAGGUGCAUAGCAAAAUGUAUGUACUUAUAAAAGCCAAAAUGACUUAUAAAUUUGGAACAGACGGAGUAGAAAUCAUGCUCUGGUGAUACCUAGAUUAGCAUCUGGUUCAGUAAAAACUGGAUGUCACCAAAUCAUUCGAAACAAAACAAUAACCUCCAAAGUUUCAAUAGACAAGAUUGUUCUUCAUGAACAGUGGGUUAGUCUCUUUACAUUAUCCAAUGCUCACUGACUACAGAACUUUUGAGGGUAGAUGAAGGAAAAGACUAGCUAAGUAUUUGUCCAAUAAGACAUGCAAAUAUAACAACAUUUGGUGUUUCAUAGUCUAGGUACCUGAGAAUGGGUAGCAAGAACGCCUCUGACACUUCGGUCCAGAAUGGUCCGUAUUUCUUCAACUGGAGAAAGACGAGCAGCUUUUGCCUAUAAUUAUGAGAAUUUUGAGUAAAUAAUAAAGAUCCAGAGACAAUGGUUAAAUCUACAUUCCGAAGAGCUCAGGUGCAAGCUUAAGCGACUUGCAAUUGCAAACUUUUUAAAGUAUUCAACCCUACCACAGUCCACAGUUGUUGCAGAUACAAUCACUGACUCACAUGAUAAGUUGAUUCAACAUGCUGUACGAAUUGACAAGAUUCAGCUGGGACUUGGGAAUAGCUAUGAUUCGCUACUAGACUACUAGAGACAAUGAGGCCUCACAACAUCGCAACAUGGGACUCUUGCCUUUGGAAGGAAACCAUUUGCACAUCAUUGUAUCAAUGUUUUGCUUCCUCACGUUGAUCUUUGAGAAGAAAAUGACCAUACUAAAAGAUUCAUCUAUUUCAAUUGAAUAAUAAGUCCUUUUGGUGAAUUUAUUUGACACCCACAUCCCUUCGGCCCCUCCUCAUAAUAUAGUCCAUCUGGUACUAUUAUCCCAAAAAUCCAAAGUUUGUCGACAGACCCAGGACUCAACGGACCCAAAACACCCGAUUCACUUCACUUGAGUCGCAUAGCUACUGCCCACAGGUCAUGAUACACACACGAUCCCCAAAGCCAACGACAAAAGGGCAAGAGCCACACCUGGUGAACGCGGAUCACCUCAAACGCGUCCGAAGAACCACCGGGGGCGUCGGCAGGCGCCGCCAUCUGCAACGCAGUUACGCAGACAAACAAAUACCAAAGCACAAUCAGCCAAAUACAUCACCGCCGCGGAGCCAUUUCAUCGAACAUCUGCCCGCACGAAACAGUUAAUAAAAUUAGGGGCGGCCGGGGGCGGCAGGCGGAGAGGCGAGUCGGACCUGGGACGAGGAGGAGGAGGACGCGAAGAAUCGGCCGCGGCGGUUGCGGAGGCGAGGGUAGAGGAGGGGGGAAGCGGAGACGUGACCGUGCCGGUGGUUGUGCCGGCCAUUAGUAAUUUGUAGGUGGAGCGGAAGGAGUAGGCGCGACAGCGUUGACGGCGAGGGCGCCGCCCGAGCGCCCGGCGUGAGCAGCAAGGGCAUCGUCAUUGCGUGCACGCGUGCGCCACGGAGCCUGUCUCGGUGUCUGCGUGCAGCGCAAGCGGAGAGCCUCGCUGGCCGCUUGGUGGUCGCUCGGCACGGCAGGCCCGCGACCGCGAGCUGUGCUGCUGCUUGUGCACACGGCGGGGUAGAGUCUAGAGUGAGUGGCGUUGGCCAGAUGGAACUGGUCCAGGCCGUCAAGACAUCACCUAGCCCAUUAUAAGGAUUUGGGGGCCGGACUUGGUUAUUUCGACGUUGGGCUGGAUGCAGAGUCCUUAAGCGGCACCAGUCAUCCUCAAUGGGAGUUUCAUGACACAGUUUCCAACACAUCAAUAUUUUGGAAACAGUGCAUAGAAGUUUCAUGGGGAUGAAACUCUCUCUACUCCCAUGAAACUCUUAUUAUCUCUCUCUUCAUUAAUAUAGCGCCACAUCAGCAUAUUUAAUGUGCAUGAAACUCUAAUGAAACCCAUUGAGACUAGCCUAAGUGUAUAAAGAAAAACUAUGUAAUAUCUAGACAAGUCAAAAAUAUCAUAAUUUAAAAUAGAAGUAUAAUACUAGUGUGUUUCCUUCGUCGAAAAGAACACAAACAAGUUGGCCAAAAUGUUUCCGAUUUCAUUUUCCACAUCAAUCAAGUUCACUCUCGAUUUCGAGUUUACCGUUCUUAUCUAAUUUUCCGUAAAUAUGUGAAAGUAAUAACUUUAAAAAAAUGAAACACGCUCAAUAGUUCUUUUUACACUUUGGCGUCUAUGAACCCGUGCCUGGCGCUGAUGUACACGAUGCUUUGGAAAAGAAUACGGAAUUUAUGGUCGAGUCAGUGCGUGAUUCGAGAGGCAGGGCUCUUUGACCGGAAUGCCACUGCGUGAUUCGAGAGGCACAGGCCCGCUUCGUUACCCGUAUCACUUGAUUAUCGAGUGACGAAUGAAUCCACGAAGAAGACCCUAUAUAAGUAGUACUACACGCCGAAGAAAACAUCUUGAAGUCACCACAACUCCGAACAAAAAAAAAAAUACUCCUACUCCUACUAGCACUAGCACUAGUAAACACCGAAAGGGACCGGGGCAUCGACGGGCAUGGCUCAGAAGGACGGCGACGACCUCUUUGCCGGCCUGCGGGCCGUCUUCGCGCUGAGCGUGAAACCGGAGGUGAAGCCGUCCAUGCUCGUCACCCUUGUGGUGCAGGACACCAAGCGGCGCACGCUGUCCCGCACCAUGCGGAGGACGGACAAGCUGCAGGAUCUGAUGGACUACUACUACGGCGUGAUGUCCCCUCCGCUCACGUACGGCGAGGGGCGCUUCUUGUUCGACGGCGGGCGUGUCAAUGGGGAGAAGACGCCGGAGGAGUACGACAUGGUCAGCGGGGACAAGAUCGACUUCUUCCCCGAUCUGAUGGGGGCCUGAUGUGGCGGUGGCGCCGGCCUGAAUGCCUGAUCGACUCACGCUGCCUGCUAGCUACGUACGAGUACCUUGCUAAUAAGCUCGUUUCCCUAUUAGCACUAUGUAUCUCCCGCUGGAUUGUAUGAACGGCUCUGUUUUAGUCUUCCUUUCUUUUAUGGGGGAACUUUUAGUGAAAUGGCUUUUUAACUGCAUCAUGCCAUCUUAUGCCAAUCCAACGUUCAUCAGUCGCCGGAUAGCUUCCGUGGCAACUUGACGUAGCAAUGACUUGUAUCCAAAUUUCAUAUAGCAAAAUCCAAUUAAAAUACUCUCUCUGUGCCUGAAUAAAUAGGUUCUUAAAUUUAUGUUAAGUCAAAGUUUUUAGACUUUGACUGAAUUUUUAGAAAAAUCUGUCAAAAUUUAUGACAACAAAUUAGUAUCAUUAGAUGUACUCCAUAGAAUAUAUAUGUUCAUAAUAUGCCCAUUUUAUGGCAUAUAUGCUAGUACUUUUUCCUAUAAAGUUAGCGAAAUUUAAAACAGUUUGACUGACAUGAAUUUUAGAAAUUGAUUUAUUUGAGAAUGAAGAAAGUACGGUACAAGGAAACAAAAUAUAAAGUACAAUACUACCCAAAUACAAAAUGAAAAAAAUGCUCAUUCCUAUCCAAAUUUAUUUUCUCUAAGUCUAAAUCCAUCUAAUAUGAUCCAAUGGUAACAAAAGCAACCUAAUAUCAAGUAGCAAUUGUCAUUACCCGAAAUUUGAAUUAGCCCGAAUUAACCGACCACCCGAACACGGCCUUGUUUAGUUCCAAAACAUUUUGCAAAAUGGACACUGUAACACUUUUGUUUGUAUUUGACAAAUAUUAUUCUAUCAUAGAUUAACUAGGCUCAAAAGAAUCGCCUUGCAAAUUACAGAUAAAUUAUAUAAUUAGUUGUUUUUUAUCUAUAUUUAAUGAUCUAGCGAAAUUCGAUGUGACGGUGUAAAGUUUUGAAAAAAAAAAAGAGUUUAGAACAAGGCCUCAGAGUGGCGAUGGCCAGAUGGAAGAAGGCCGUAACUGCAGUGCACAAAGAGACCUUCCUGGUCCAGGCCGUCAAGAGAUCACCUAGCCCAUUAUAAGGAUUUGGGGCCGGGCUUGGUUAUUUCGAUGUUGGGCCGGAUGCAGAGUCCUUAAGCGGCACCAGAGACUACGUGGGCUAGCAAGAAUGUAAGAUGCUGGCCAGAUUACCUGGCGGAGAUUACCCGUGAGGCCGUGACCACUAACCAAAGCUCGUUAUUAAGCUUUGGCCUCUGAUCUUUUGGUGAGGUCAUUUCGGCUAGCUUGUGAUAGUGCCAAUGCCAUGAGAAGUGUUGGAGGAGUUUUCAAAAAAAAAAGUGUAGAUUUUGCUAGAAUGGCCAAGCUGUACAAUUUCGGCUAGCUUGUGAUAGUGCCAAUGGCCAAGUUGUAAGAGAGAUAAAGGCUAGGGCACUUGAUUUUCUUAUGUAGAUUUUGCUCAUGAGAGUAGAAAGUCUAAUGUUGAUGCUCGCAACUUAGCUAGAAGCAUGUUUUUUUAGACAGGCAGGCAUGCCUAGCUGUUAGAACUGCCUAUUGCAUUUGUAAAUCAUAUGAUCAACUCCAUGAAUAAAGAGUGUAGAGUUCCCCCAAAAAAAAAUUAUGCGAGCAUUCCUAAAUCGACCAUGCCAUAAUAUAACAAGGAAAAAGUUUCUCCAUAAACUAUCACCAUGGCUUAAUUUUUUUGAAAGAACACCAUGGUCUAAUUUUCAUCUUCCAACUUCAAAUGAGACUUCUUACCCAUUUUAAAUAAUAAAAAUCAUAGACAUAUAUUAGGUUACAAAAAUCAACAGAAAACGUUUAUAUUGUUUAAAAACAUAUUUAGAAAUAAAAAGAAAAAUAUUCACUAAAAUGAAAACAACAUCUAGAAAAUCUAGAAAAACUUUCAAGAAAAAGUUUCAACAUUCUAAUUGAGUUUUUUUUAAGCUUUUAGAGGCAUUUUCUAAAACAAACUUCCGAUUCAUACUUUGAAUUCUUGAAUAAAUCACCAGAGCCAAGCCAGGCUGCCAAAAUCAAAGUACUCCCAGCACUCCAACGGGAGGUUUGAUGGUUGCGUGGCUCUCUUGCUUGCUCCUUGAAUACACCCGGACACUCCAGACUUCUGCUCUUCGCACGAUCACAUAUUCACAGUUCACGAUCACUUGUGUUGACGAUCCCAUCGCCCAACGACUUCAGCGAGCAUCACGGGGUGUCGUGGCGCGGAAGUGUGGACCAUCUCCGCACUCCAGUACAUGGCCCGCGCCGCCAUGACGUUUCCAGGACGACGCAAGCAAAACUGCUGAAGUCCCACGCUCCGCACGCUCGCUCUGCCCGUCGCCCGGCCGGUCAUGAGCUCAUGGCAUCGGCGUGGCUCCUGGUCCCGGGGUGUCGUGGGUGACGCGCGAGAAAAGCCGGCGACCAAACAGUGCAAGUGCCUGCCUCGCGCACGCCGCAAAAGCAAUCACGAUCAAGGUCUUGUUUAGUUUAAAAAAAAUUACAAAAUAUUUUCAGAUUCCUCAUUACAUUGAAUCUUGCGGCGCGUGCAUGAAGCAUUAAAUAUAGAUACAAAUAAUAACUAAUUGUAUAGUUUAUCUAUAAUUUGUGAGACGAAUCUUUUGAGUCUAGUUAGAUCAUAAUUAGAUAAUAUUUGUCAAAUACAAAUAAAAAUGUUACAGUAUCUAUUUUGCAAAACUUUGAGAAACUGAACAAGGCCCCAAAGCAAACGCAGUCGGUCGGUCCUGCUGCCCAAGGGAAGAAAAAAAAAUCAAGAACGUUACAGUCGCAGAGCCGGUACGGUACCUAACGCGGUUUUACCACCACAGGCCCGGCCUUCCAGAUCGAGCUUCUUCGACCGCCCGUCACGUCUUGCCAGCCGCUAUUUUGUAUUGUAAGCACCGUGCUUGGACGCGUCGCUUGGUCGUUAGCACGCCGCAAUCAGAUGGACUGAGCCCGGUUUGGCCGCUGGCCAGUGGGCACAUUUCCACCCGCGAGGUCCGCCGGAAGCUACCGCCGCGGAUCCAGCGAAACGGGCACGGUUUGCUCGGUGGAACCAGACAUCUGGCCAACGGUCAAAUUUUCAUGGCCUCCUCGUGCUCGUGGUUGAAGCUGAGAGGGAGAGGGGGCGCGGGAGCGCCGGAUGGGGACAAGGGGGGGAUGUGGCAUGCCGCAUGCAUGGCAGUGGCAGGCCAGCAGGACCGCAGCACGGCGGAGUAUUUUACAGCCUUUCGCUGACAGCUAGUCAGCGGUCCCGAUCGCAACUGUCGCGCCAGCUGUGCCCACCAGGCUGGUCGUUUGCCCAUGCGCCCAUGACCGUUUGCUACCGAGAUCCUCUGGAUCCGCCUCUCCGUGCGACCCCUCCUGGGGCUCCUGAUGCGGUGAUGCCUCGUCGCCUCGACUCGACACGUUUUCAAUACUAUACUUACCAGCCAACACGAACAGCGGGCGAAAUCCACUCCACCGCAGGAUCUGAACUCGGUUCGAUACCAUGAAACGUUUUCAAGCAACGUUUUUUUCCCCGUCAAGUUAGCCAGAAUCGCGUGCUGCUACCAGCACCAGCAAUAUGCGCACGCAACCAAGUUGCCUCGGCGCGGCUCGUGCUCGUGCCGGCCUGAGGACGCGCAGCGCGGCGGGCGGGCGAGCGGCGACGCGCGCGUGGUCAGCAGCACUCAGCAGAGGGGAGCAGAGAGGAUCCCAACGGCCCCCGCGCCCGCCGCGCCCGCGCAACCGCAAGGCAGUGCCAGGCUGCCUGACCGGCCGCGCCACCAAACGCGGCGGAACCCAACAAAUGGCCAGCCAGCCAGCCGCGCGUGGUGCGGCACUUCCCGUUCGACCCAGGCAGCAGCCCCCCACCGCCUCACGCAACCUACCUGGCCGCGCCGCGCGGGCCCCGCUCCGGCCUCCGUCCGCGUCCGCCCCCCUGCCUCUAUAAAACCCUCGCCCCUGCGCACCGUCCUCCCCCACCUCUCCCCGACGCCCCGACUGCGCGCAUCUCUCUAGAGCUUCAUACCCUCGAAGAGAGAUCCGUCGCGGCCCCCAAUAAACAACCAGCUCACUCCAGACUACUCGCAGAAGAUGGCCGGCCUCAGGAUGAAGUUCGUCGCCGUCGCCGCCAUGGCCGCCGCCCUCGUGGCGUCAGCCGCGGCCGCCGAGGCCCCCGCCCCCGCGCCGGCCUCCGACGCCGCCGCUGCCGUGCCCCUCGCCGCGGCCUCCCUCGCCGCCGCCGCCUUCGGCUACCUCUUCUGCUAGAUCCGGCCGGCGCUGGAUGCGUGCGUGGUUUUCUGCCUGCUUGAUAUGCGUGAUUCGUCUGGCGUGAGUUGAGUUCCGUGUCGUGUGCGUGUGUCUGUCUCUGUGUGAGGUGUCGGCGGGCGUGUGUAUGUAUGGAGUCGGCGGCGGCGGCGGAGGUGUGCCCGUGGUGGUGGUACAUGCGUCGAUGCGCCAUUGUUUGUGGCGGCGAUCAUGUACCUGCUGCGUUUUCUGGUUAUUAAUGAGAUGAUUUAUUUGAUUCUUUCCAGCCUGGGCACCAAGUGCACAAUUACAAUUUUUCAGUACUACUGCUGAUCUGCCAUGCAUCUGUGCCUAUCUAGCGUGCAAUAUGAGGUACUCAGAUUUUAUCUGCGACCAGCGAAUUUGUCUCGGCGAUUCUAUCAACUCUUUGACUCCGUUCAUUUGAGCUUAAGCAUUGUUUUUCUUUCCCAACAAAUUAUCGAACGGUAGAUUUCUAAAAAAAAAAAAAAGAAAUCGAACGGUACUGUCAACCAGACAAGCGAAUAGACUCUUUGCCUUUGCAAAGAAAAUUGAUGAUUAUGAUCUUUGUAUCGAGCCCUUCAAUUUGUGCAUAAUAUUCAGUGGGGCCAAAUCAAUAUAUAUAAAGUUCAUGCGCCUCCUUAGAUCAACAUCCUGCGGUGAACAAUCAUGUGAAACGAACACUAGCGACAGCCAAGCCAUCAAGAAAAUCUAUGAUUCAAUUAAGUUCAGAAUUAAUAAAGCCUUAAUUUUAGUUUCGAAACUGGUUGGCUUGGAGAUGCCUGGGGCCAGGGUUGUUGAGGGAUCCGAAGAUUGAAAUGAUUGAAGAGCGUUGCCAGCCAUGCGCCAUGUGGUAUGUGCGUCUGGCUCGUUCAAACUGGUCCACAGAUGAGUUGUCUUGGGCAGAAGCUGCCCUACCGACUGCAUCAACAUACUAGUAGCUGGCAAUUGGCAUGCUUGCCAUGCUAGAUGUAUGGCGCGUUAGCUAGAAGCUGAAAGAACGGUGUGCCAUCGCCAUCCACGCAGUAAUAAGAUACAAGUAGCUAAUACUUCGUUACCGGUAUAAAUCGUUUGUCCAUUUGCAUCACCAUCCAUAAAUUCACUAGCCGGUGAUGGGACAAACACCGACACUACGGACGUGGAUUCCUUCAUUUCUGCAUUAUUAGUUUUUUAAUGGAAUUGCAUGUCGAGCAAUACUUAAUCUGGACCAUGUUGGCCAAAAAGGCCAGCGUUUUUUUUUUCUUCAGGCGGACGGCCGUACGCCUACAGCUUCGGGCUUACUUCUACUGUCAACAGAGAACGUGCAAAAUAGGGGCCCAGUUCUAGACUCUGGACUGUGAGAGGCCCAGUUUUAUAUGGGCUCAAUUUACUGCUGACUAGGGGCCCCUGGCGAAGGAUGCAAUCCGCUACAAGCUGAUAGCCUGAUACGGAUACGGCUGAAGCAGUGAACUUGACACAAUGACACGCUAUGGGCUAAAAGCGCAGCCGCUUGGCCCGCUUCACAUGAACUCGCUCAUCAUGGCGAGCACCUGCGCCAUGGUGGGCCGCUCCUCCGGCGCCUCGGCGGUGCACAGCAUGGCGAUCCUCACCAUCCCCAUCGUCUCGUCGCUCCCCUCGCCGCCGUCCGCGGCCUUGUGGCCAGUCACCACCUCCAGGAGCACCAUCCCAAAGCUGUACACGUCUGACUCCUGCGUCGCCCGCGCUGCCGCGCCCGAGGCCAGCUCCGGGGCCGCGUACCCGUGCCACCCGCCGCUCGUCGCCUGGUCCGGCAGGAACAGCUCGGGCGGGCACCGCGUCCGGGCGGCCUGCGGCUGCGGGGCGAUGGCCUGCUGGAUGUUGGUGGCGUAGCGCAUGAGCCCGCACUCGGACACGCACGCGCCGCCGCGCUCGUCCACGAGGAUGUUGGACGGCUUCACGUUCGCGUGCACCAGCGCCGGCCGCGCCGGGAACGUGUGGAUGUAGUUCAGGCCCUGCGCCGCGCCGAACAGGAUGCUCUUCCUCGCCGCCCAGUCCAGAUUCCUCGCGCCUCCUCCUGCAACAACUCAGCAGCAGCAGCAACAGACCACCGUCAAGAACACUCACUUUCUUGCAGCAACUGCGAAUUGGCGACGCGUUUUGGAUUUUGCUCAUCGUAUUUUCGCAGCGCACACGCACCAGUGGCUUGCAGAAGGGAUUGGAGGCUCCCGUUCGGGAGGAAGUCGUAGACGAGCAGGCGCUCCCCGUUGGAGUUGCAGUACGCCCUGAGGCUGACGACGUGCCGGUGCCGGAGCCGGCCGACGACCCGCAUGUGGCGGUCGAACGCCUUGCUCCGACUGGCUGGGAACUGCAGCGCGCUGAGGCGCUUGACGGCCACCACGAUGCCGUCCUCUAGCACCGCCUUGUACGUGCUCCCGGACACGCCCUUGCCCAGCACCUCCGCGGACGCCUUGAGGAGGCUCUCCAGCCGCAGCUCGUCGCCGCCGUCGAAGCAGACGAGCCCGCCGGACGUCUUGUGGCACCUGUCGUCCCUUUUUUCUUCCUCCUCGAAGCACAGCGCCGCGUCGGGAGCAUCCUUGGCGGACCGGAGCUUUCUCCUCACGUAGACGAACAUGGCCACGGAGAUGGCUAGCGAGACCGUGAUGAGCACCGCGUUGCCAAUGCUGGUGGCCAUGAGCGCAGUCAUGCUAAUCUUACCGAAUCCUCCGUUGCUAGAAGAAACACUACUGACACUAGCGUUCGGAGAUUGAGCUACAACAGUAUUAAUGGUCGCGUUUGAAGAACUAUCUGAUCCUAGAGCAUCGUAAGCAUGGGCACAUUUCGGCAGAGGCUGACCACAGAGAGCGAGAUUGUCACUGAAAGCGGAGCUCGGGAACCUGGACAGGUCGCCGGGGAUCUCCCCGGCGAGCUUGUUCCCGGACACGUUGAAGCUCCUGAGCAUCGGGACGCGCAGCGCUUCCAGCCCUCCACGGAAGCCGUUGUGCUCUGCUCGAAGGGUGAGCAGAGCACCCAGCGAGAUGCGGAGGCUCCCGCUGAGCUUGUUGUGGGAGAGGAGCAGGUGCCUCAGCCAGGGGCUCGCCGUGGAGUUGUCCAGCGGCGGGAGGGUGCCGGACAGGGAGUUGUUCCUGACGGCGAGCGCCCUGAUCCGGCCGAGCCCGAGGAGCGGCGCCACGGCGCCGGACAGCGAGGCGCCGUCCAGGAAGACCCCCGCCACCCUGCCCCUGUAGCACCUGACCCCGAACCACGUGCCGGAGCACGGGUUGGGGCCGACCCACGACGCCAGGGCCGUGGCGUUCGGGUUGUACGCCUUGAAGGAGAGCAGCGCGCGGAGGUCCUGGUGGGCGCCAUUGACAUAGUCACCGUGCACAUGGCGUGUCGAUAGGUAGACGAAGACGGCGAGGAGCAGUAGCACGGAGGAGCAAUGGUAGAAAUGAGGCAUUUUGGUUUGUAAGCUGUUUUCACCUGUGUUUGAGUUUGACUGAGAAAUCGGCGAGCUGAGGUUUAUAGUAUAGCGCGGCGGCGGUGACAAUUAUCUGCGCGGGCAACGGGGCAAGUAGUAGAAAUUUUUGAAAAAAGCACACGGGUAGAGCCGCAGAACGACGACAGGCACUGGGGUCCAAAACGGAAAGCUUGGUAGCAGUGCCGUCGUCCUGUACUAUGUCAUGUGUUGAGAGGUGAAAGUGGAAAGGGACGCCAUGGACGACAGGAGGAGAGGUCCAAGCGGAUGGGGGCGAGGUGGGAGGCGACAAGUGCCUUUUUCGUCGUCGCCGUUGGGCAGAAGGAUCUUGGACGUAUUCGGUGGGCUGAACAUAGGUCGCCGUGAUGGUCGCCGGGAGAUACUGGUGCUCCUUCUACUUUUUUUACGGGAACGGCUGAAAGGAAGCGAGAGGGCUCGGGGUUCCAUGGCGCGUGGUGUAUCGGGGUCGGUCACGAGCGUGCCGAGGGGGACGGACGUUGGCGUCAGGUGGCGCACCACCGCACCAGCAGUAGGUAGAAGACAAGAUGGUGAGAUUCCGCCAGCUGCACGUUGCACUAGUUUCAGUGUUUCACUUUCACCGCGAACCAGACAGAGCACCGAGCUGGGUUCAGAUGUCAGGGCAUUCGUUCACGCAGUGGGCCAGUCAGUAUCUGGUCAUGGAGCUAGCUGAUUAGCCUCCCUACUACAAUGCUCAAUUGAAACACAAUCAAAACCAUGCCACAUAAUAUUAAAUUCAUCAUAGAUGGCCACAGCAGCCAUCGACAAGAAGCUGUCAUCUCUCAUCGUCUCCAACACUUGGCAGUGAAUUGAACAAGAGGCCAGUUCCUCCUAAUAUGCAGGACUUAAGAGCAUAUCUAAGAAUCUUUCUAAAUCUCACCCUAUAAAUCAUCAUUUAGAGAGUUAUUUGCAUAAAAAUUAUUUUCUAUAUCUUUUCACUCUUUAAUAGUUUUUUAUUUUUCAUGCGCAUGUCGGAGAAUCAUUCUCGUCUUUUAUUUUUGCCUAGCGAAAAAUCUCCAUAGCAUUUAGGAAGGAUAUGGAGAGUCUCUUCGAUAUGCUCAGUAAUCAUCCUCGUAGGCCAAUCGCUUCCGCCAUAGCAACAUCUAUUACAUGAUCUGUAAAUUUAUUCGAAAAGCAAGAGCCCUGUCUCACCAAAAGACACGCUCGGGCACUUCACACACGUGGCUUCGCAAGCCGCUAGCUCCUAGGUCCACGAUGAAAUGUACAAAUAUGACUAGAGGGGGUGAAUAGCCUAUUUAAAAAUUUCACAAAAACACUAGAGCAAGAGGUUAGUAAAUAACAAAGCGAAACUUUUUGCUCUAGCUCUAAAGGGUGUUUGUAAGCCACCUACCCAACAAAUUCUAGAUGCUAUGAUCACUAUGCACACAAGAACUAAGUCUCUACUUACACUAGAGAGCUACCUAAAGUUUCUAUACAAGAAGUAAGCUACUCUAGUUUGCAAGAAAGUAAGAGAUAGUGUUUGAUCUUUAUACCACCACGUAGAGGGGAUGAACCAAUCACAAUAUUAUGAAGUCCAAUCACCGGGAGAAAUCCAAUCAACAAACACAAUGGAGACACAAGAUUUUUCUCCCGAGGUUCACGUACUUGCCGGCACGCUACGUCCCCGUUGUGUCGACCAACACUUGGUGGUUCGGUGGCUAAGAGGUGUAGCACGAACCUCGUCCUCACUAGGACACCACAAGAACCUACCCACAAGUGAGGUAACUCAAUGACACGAGCAAUCCACUAAUGUUGCCUUUGGCUCUUCGCCGAGGUAGGCACAAACCUCUCACAAUCACCGGGGGAUGGCCACGAACAAUCACCAACUCGUGUCAAUCCUCUUACGCUGCUCCAAGCCGUCUAGGUGGCGGCAACCACCAAGAGUAACAAGAAAACCGCAGCUAGAACGAUUCCCAAGUGCCACUAGAUGCAAUCACUCAAGCAAAUGCACUUGGAAUCACUCCCAAUCUCACAAAGAUGUAUAAUCUAUGAAGGAGAUGAGAGGGAGGUGUAUGCUUAGGCUCACAAGGAUGUCAAGUAUGUUAGAAUGCCAAGAGAGUAAGCCCCAACCCAGCCAAACACGUAUAUAUAGCCCCUCAAACAAAUAGAGCCGUUGGCUCUUUCACUGGGCAAACUGCGGGGUCACCGGAUGCUCUUAAAGGGGCACCGGACGCUCAACACCAGCGUCCGGUGCUCCAACGUCAGCCACGUGUCGUCUUUUGAAACGCUCGUAUCAGAGUCUAACGGUCACCUGCAGCCGGACGCUGAGCAAGUUAGCACCGGACUCAUGCGCAGAGAGUUCCGCAAACCUGCGGGGCACCGGACGCUAAGCACCGGUAGCGUCCGGUGCUCACCGGACCCAUGAGCAGAGAGGGUCGCAAAACGCCCGAACACCGGACGCGCACCACCGGACGCUCAAGUCAGCGUCCGGUGCCUAUCGUCCGGUGCCUUACCCUAGCUGGGCCAGGCACUGUCUGCACCGGACGCUCAGACUUAGCGUCCGGUGCCCCAGAAGCCAGCGUCCGGUGAGUGUUUUCUCAGCAAGAAACACUCCCGCGACUUCUCCAAAAUUUCCCACCGGCGCAAUAGAAAAUAUGCACUUCAUUUUCUCAAAAGCGCCGAACCCAUCCUCUCUCUACCUUCCAAACUCCACCUCCUUCUUAAAGUGUGCCAACACCACAAGUGUAAACCAACAAGUGUGCUCGUGUGUUAGCAUUUUCACAAUCAUUUUCUUCGAAGGAGUUAAAUUAGCUCACUAGGUUCUAAAUGCAUGCACAUGAACAAUGACACCUAGUGGCACUUGAUAACCGCUUAGCCAAAGAAUUCCCCUCUUUAUAGUACGGCUAUCUAUCCUAAAUGUGAUCACACCCUUUAUGGUGUCUUGAUCACCAAAACCAAAACCCUAAGUAAUACCUUUGCCUUGAUCUCCAUAGGGUUUUGUUUUUCUCUUUCUUCUUUUCCAAGUUGAGCACUUGAUCAUCUUGUGGUCAUCACCUUCAUCACCAUGAUCAUCACUUGCUCCAUCACUUGGCAUGUACCAACCUCAUUAAGUCUACACACACUUAGUGUAGAGGUUAGUACUAGGAUUUCAUCAAUUAUCCAAAACCAAACUAGGGCUUUCACACGAUACAGGCUUCGUCAUGUUCACAAGUAGCAUGUGCUUUUAUCUCCACAACUAUUGGUUAUACAUGGAGAUGUGUGUACCGCUGAUUGUUCCUCUCAUGUAAUACACCUAUCCUCAUACACAUCCAACAACUGAGCGGAUAGGGGCACAUGUCCUAAGGGCAUAUUUAACUUUACCAAUUAUAAGGACAUAGUCUUCUUUUUUGUCAUUUGGGACAUGUGCUCUCAUCUCCACAACCAUUGGAUGUGCCCAAAGUUGUUGGAGAGGGACAAUUGCAAAUCCCAUGCACAUCCAACAAUUGUGGAGAUAGCGACACAUGCACUCAAAGAAAUAUUUAACUUUCACCCUCAUUGUGUUGUUGGAUUUGAUAUUGUAAAGAGACGGACUGGUUAGCACAUCGCUACCCCAAAAUUGAGCUUCGUUGGGAACGGUCUAUCCGUUGUGGCCGUGUCGACGGCCGCAAGCAUAACAAACACAAGGGAAGCCUAUGAAAUAUAUAUGCUACUCCUUCCUCUGGUAUCUAUUCACGCUGAGCUGUCAGCAAGCGAAGCCGUGCUCAUUCAAGCAAGGAUGCGAUGCACCAACUUUGCUAGGUGCACGACAUCACCAGUUCACUCACCAUGGAGUUUUUUCUUGGUUGUAGUGGCACUGUGUCUUGACCUUGGUGCGUCCUCGGCCGACCGUGUGGACACUUCAAGACGCAGGAGCCUGCUGCUCAUAACCAGGCCGUGGAGAAUUCUUGUCGGCUCUAAAAAUUCGUGUCGGUUUUUAAACAAGUGACGGGAAUAAAGAUAACUCAUGUCACCUUCCAAAUUCAGUCUGGAAAACCCAGGCUAUUUUUAGUGGGCCCAUCCAUGAAUUGGAAUAGUAUAUAAAGGAAAUCCAAAACCCUAGGGCCUAGGCCCAUUUGCUUAACACGGCCCGUGACCGCGAAGCAUUAACCUCUAGCUAUAUAAGGCGUCGUCCCUUCUGUUUUGGUACAGGCUCUACCGCAGCCGCCACCGUCGCCCCUCUCCCUGCAUCGCCCUCACUCAGCCUCACCUAAAUCCACCACUGCACCCCUCUCCUCCUCUCCAUCCGCCGCCACCACCCCCUCGGUCUACACGUGCUGGUGCCAGCCCCUCUGACAGCUUUAGCUCAAGCAGAUCCACUCACGACGUCGCUUCCCCUCACACACCAAGCCGAAGGCCACAAGAAGAGAGUGGAUCUGUUGUUGAUUUAAAGAGGAGGUGGAGGUUUGCUGCCAUAGAAGGGAGAAGAAGAUCUUGCUGCAAGAGGUCAAAGGAGGAACAAGAAAGGCAAAGGAAGAAGUUUCCUUAAACCCUAAGAGGUGAUUAAUACAUCCCCUUGCAUUUUUCUUCUUGGUACCAAAGCAUUCAUUGUGCAUUAGGAAACUCUAGCAUGUCUGCAAUGUAUAUUCACUGGUGUAGGAAUGAAUUUGAUUAUGGAAUAUUAGCAGUUGCUAGUUGUAAAUGGCAAAAAAAUAAAAACAAAUAGAACACUGACUUUUUAAUAGCUUAGCUCUUAUAACUUAACUUAUAUAGUAGCUACGCACUUAGUUAUAUUAUGGACCUUGCUCUUAGGUUUCAUGUCAGUGUACACUGUUGCUAAGGGUAUUUGAAACUGGAAACCUGUAUUAAUACCUGGAAUAAUAAAAAAACCCCGGCGUGAGCAAUUGUCAGUCUUUUGAUCCUAACACCACGAAAGAUUUGACUGCUUUUUACCAGCCUAAAACUAUGAAUGAAAUUUGUUGUUCAUUCCUCAUCUAAACUACUCAAGGUAACCAUACUCAAGGUUGCCUGCGCUUCGAGUGCAGGGCACCGGAGUAUGUCGCCACCGCGACAGGAGAACAGGAGGCAGGUGAUCGUCAAGGCCGAACCUGUUCCCUCGAUCACGCUCAAGGUGCUUGACCAGCAGAGUCGCAGGGCCUUCCACACCAUGAGGAUGAACGACAGGCUGCAGGGCGUCAUGGAUGCCUAUUACAAGAAGGUGUCCGACGACGUGACCUACGGCACCGGGAUCUUCAUGUUCGAUGGCUCCGUCCGGCUGCGGGGCUGCAACACGCCGGCGGAGCUCGAUCUGAAUGAUGGUGAUCAGAUCGAGUUCUUCGAGUCCAUGAUUGGCGGCGGAUGCAUGGGUUGAUGCUUGCGUUUAAGUACAUCAUUACUUGUGUUGCUUGCGUUUAAGACUUUUGAGUAGUAUUGCUGUCAAGUUUGUUAUAAUGGUUACCUGCACCAUAACGUAUCAUCCUUAUACUAUGCUUGUAAUGAUGCAGUCGUGAUUUUUUUAUCUUAAUUUAUCUUCCCGGUUUACCUUCUGAUUGCUACUGUCAAACUUUUUUUCAAAUCCGAAUUGAACAGGAAUGACAGUAUAGCACUGUUACUCUGUUAGAGAUGGGAUGGUAAAGAAUGGGAUUGGUAGAGUUUACACUGUAUCUCUCUCCGAUUUACAAGUUUACUGCUACAAGAGCUCCUCACGAAGGCUGGAGGCCUGGAGCUCGCCGCCGGCAUCCUGGCCGGUGGCCGCCAACGCCACCAGAAACACUCUCCAAAAGCCAAAACGUAACCGAGUUAUACGUACUGUAUUCCCUUCUCUAGCAUAUACAGACUCUCCAAUUUAGUUGCUCACCCAAUCCCAGAUAGCGCCCUUAGGCUUACUUUGGCAGCACAGGUAAAUUAAUCACGGGAAAAAUAGUCACGCGCGUGGAAUUUUUUUGACAUUUGAUUCUCACUACCAUCUCUGAGAAGAUAUACAUGCGGGGGGGGGGGGGGGGGGGGGGUUUGCUGUGGCUGUUUGGCAUCCCGUUGCAAAGGACUCACGAGGGAUUCAGCUGUGCUGUUUGGUUUCUCUAGUGCUGCUUGUCACCAUUGAACAAUUGAAAACAAUAUCUCAAAAAAUCAUAAAAAAUCAAGAAAAACAGAAAAUAUUAAAUAAUAUAAGACAUUCACCAGCAGUGUUAGAACCACAAACCAGGAAAAACUCAGGACUAAGUCUCUAUACAAAUACAUAAUUCAAGUCUAAAAUCAUGUCAACCAGGUUAUAGUAUCAGUAAUAGCUAGCAUGAAUACAGAUGGUUUCCAUGCUUUACAUCCAGUACACAGACAUAAACUAGGUUAUAUGAACUGAAAGCUAAAAUCUGCACCAAUAUUUAAAUUAGCCCUCCAGCUCACACCAAUAUAUUACAUAGACAACAGCAGCAUAAAAAAUGGACAAAUAGUAGGUGCAUGUAUAUAAAAAAUGAUAGACAUGAAGAGCAAAAUCUAUCUAUGAUCUUGAACGUUUCUCAGAUGCUAAUUAUGAAGGCCACUUCACUUUUCUCUGAUCAUGUGUUGCUUCUACCGGUCCUGUAUAAGUAACACAAAAGAAAUGGUGAGUUCCAAGAAUAUGCAGCAGAACAACGUGAAGUGUCAUGCUUGAUACACAUUUCAUAUCAUGAACUGGUGAGUUGCAUGCAUAUCUCCCUUAUCUUUGUACAAAUAAAAUGGUCAAAACAAGGGGCUCACUCACCUCUCUAUCACAAGAUAUAGAAAGCUGAGACAUACUACACAUAUAGCAUUCUAUUCUAGAGAGAGCUAUUAGCAAACCUGAUUAUAGACAUUUUAGAGAGAGAGCUAUUAGCAAAUGUAGUAUAUUUAUUAAUUAUAAGCAUUAAAACUGAACCAAACUGAACUCUAGUGCAGCAAAAUACCUCUAUAGGGGCUAGCAAGAGCUGACCGAAAUGGUUCAAACUCUGCUGCGGCAAAAUACCUCUACAGAUGUCAAUUGUCAGCUAGAUGUCUUCAGCGACAAAGUUGCAGUGAGCAGACAGAUUGUGGCAGGGAAAAUCGUUGCGUGGUUUCUCGGCGCGGGGAAAUCACGGGGAACCCUCCGGAAUCCCGUGCUGCCUCUUUGGAAGCACACCCACGCGGGGACAGCAGCCUGUUUCCCUUCAUUUUCCACGCGGAAGAAAUCCAGGAGUCAUGCGGCCGGGAGCGUUUCCUCUUCCCUGACCCCGUCGCUCGCUCGACGACUCACGAGGGGGCAGCCGCCGCCGCCACCGUCGCCAUCACCCCGGCGGCUCAUGGUCGACGCGUCGCUCUUGUCGUGCAUCUCCCGGUGGCCGGCAACUGGUGUGCAUCUCCUGGUUCCCGGCGAUGCAUCUCUCGCGAAUCGCGAUCGUGCCACUGCCGCCGCAAGAUCCACAUCUCGGAGCAGCACCUCCACCUCCACCUCAGCCCCGUCCUCCUAGCAGGGCAAAAUCUCGUAGAUCUUGGGGUGACCGAGCUGCCGUAUCCUCCUCCAUACUCCAACAUCCAUGGAGAAGCGUCGUGCCACCGAGCCUAUCUCCAUACCUCACUCAGCCGAAGCGUGGUGAGCAUGCACCCUAUCAUUCUUGUUGGUGGCUGUGAAAAGGAGUGGGGUAUCUGGUACCUCAUGGCUUUGUAUUUUUGUGAUAUUGUUCGGUGAUUUUGCUAAAUCUGUGAUUCAUGUCUACCCGAUUAGAAAGAUUUCCCUGGUAAUUUUAUUCAUGCUCAUAAGUAUGCAGGUUGGGUAUUGCAAAAUUUGUGAUUAUUGUGUCUAGACGAUUCAGCGAGCAAUUAGUUUAUGUUCUAUCGUAAAUUUAAGAAAAAAAUACCUUUACAUAGAUUUCUUGAUCAGCUAAAAGUUUCAGUAACCAAUAUACAGUAAAAUAGAAAUACUGCACUUCAUAACAUAACAGUCCAAGAAGUUGACACUUCAUGAGACCCAAGCUGGAAGGAUCCCAAUUAGCCAGUGCUAUGAGAUAGUGCAACAUGGUGAGUUUGAUAUAUAUAUAUAGGAGAUUGCUUGUUGUGCUUCACUGCAUUUGCAUAGGUCCUGUGAUGACAUGUUAAUAUUUUUAAUUUUUCUAAUUUUAAGUGAAUCAUACUACUGUUCUAGCAGUGUGAUUAGUCUAAAAGUGAAUCAUACAAAUGCAGUGCCAGUAAUUGAUGCUGGAGAUGGCGUGCAUGUGUCUUCAGGUGCAUCAACAAAUGUCGUUGCUGAAGAUGAAGGAGCAGGUGAUAAAUUGAGUUAAAAUUUCAGUUUUAGUUUCAGGUUCAGGUUUAGUUAAAUUUAGUUGCAGCAAUUAGGAUCAAGUUCAGGUUUAGUUCAAUUUAGUAGUCUUAGUACACUCUAAUGGGUAAAGGUUCAGGUUCAAUUUAGCAAUCAGGUUCAGGUUCAGUUAUCUUUUUAAGUCUAUUUAGUUGCACAGACCAAUAUUAACAAUUAGGUUCAGGUUCAGGUACUGUAGUCUGUAGAUUGUCCCUGGAAUUUGAGUACUGAUUCUGAUUGCUCAUAGCAGAGUAUGAGAACAAACAUUGGAGUAUAUGAUGAGCUUCCUUUUUCAAAAAGGAAAUGCAGUUUUAAUCAUUUUAGGAAAUGCAACUUUAAUUAUUAUUUUACUGUAGUCUGUAGAUUGUCCCUGGAAUUUCAGUGAUUGUUCCUCGUUCUCCCAAAUAAUGUUGAUGGGCUGUCCAACAAUAAUUUCUUUUUUUAGAGGAAGCAAUAAAUUCUUUACAUCUUGUGUAGGGACAGUUAUGAAAAGGAGCUGUUGUUUGAGUUUAGUAGAUGCUCUGGUUCUGCUAGCUGCUUGCUACUUCUAGUAUGACCAGUACUCUAGAAUUAGAUUGGUUUGUGUGGCAGAUACAAAACUAUGUCUAAAUUUAUGUGUUCUAGCUAACUACUAGUAUGACCAGUACUACCGCACAUUUUGUGUUUUAGUUUUCAGCUUCAAAAAGGGUGCUGUAUUUUUAACACUUGUUUUUUUAAUCGCCUUCUGCUAUAGGGUCACCGGAAUUCUGCUCACUGCAACUUUGUCGCUGAAGACAUCUAGCUGACAAUUGACAUCUAUAGAGGUAUUUUGCCGCAGCAGAGUUUGAACCAUUUCGGUCAGCUCUUGCUAGCCCCUAUAGAGGUAUUUUGCUGCACUAGAGUUCAGUUUGGUUCAGUUUUAAUGCUUAUAAUUAAUAAAUAUACUACAUUUGCUAAUAGCUCUCUCUCUAAAAUGUCUAUAAUCAGGUUUGCUAAUAGCUCUCUCUAGAACAGAAUGCUAUAUGUGUAGUAUGUCUCAGCCUUCUAUAUCUUGUGAUAGAGAGGUGAGUGAGCCCCUUGUUUUGACCAUUUUAUUUGUACAAAGAUAAGGGAGAUAUGCAUGCAACUCACCAGUUCAUGAUAUGAAAUGUGUAUCAAGCAUGACACUUCACGUUGUUCUGCUGCAUAUUCUUGGAAGUCACCAUUUCUUUUGUGUUACUUAUACAGGACCGGUGGAAGCAACACAUGAUCAGAGAAAAGUGAAGUGGCCUUCAUAAUUAGCAUCUGAGAAACGUUCAAGAUCAUAGAUAGAUUUUGCUCUUCAUGUCUAUCAUUUUUUAUAUACAUGCACCUACUAUUUGUCCAUUUUUUAUGCUGUUGUUGUCUAUGUAAUAUAUUGGUGUGAGCUGGAGGGCUAAUUUAAAUAUUGGUGCAGAUUUUAGCUUUCAGUGUGUAUUGGAUGUAAAGCAUGGAAACCAUCUGUAUUCAUGCUAGCUAUUACUGAUACUAUAACCUGGUUGACAUGAUUUUAGACUUGAAUUAUGUAUUUGUAUAGAGACUUAGUCCUGAGUUUUUCCUGGUUUGUGGUUCUAACACUGCUGGUGAAUGUCUUAUAUUAUUUAAUAUUUUCUGUUUUUCUUGAUUUUUUAUGAUUUUUUGAGAUAUUGUUUUCAAUUGUUCAAUGGUGACAAGCAGCACUAGAGAAACCAAACAGGAUGCCAAAUAGCCACAGCAAAACUCCUCCCCCCCGCGCAUGUAUAUCUCCCCAGAGAUGGUAGUGGGAAUCAAAUGUCAAAAAAAUUCCACGUGCGUGACUAUUUUCCCCGUGAUUAAUUUACCUGUGCUGCCAAAGUAAGCCUAGUAUUCCCCAUUUUCCUGGAGUCGGUUCCCCUCAUUUUCCCUAGCAACUGGCAAGCUCUUAAAGUAGACCCAUCCACUUUUUUUUUUCUUUUUUGCAUCGUUUCUGUCUUUCCUAAAGUCAGAAGAUCUGGUGUGACUACAUAAUUUUGGCAAGAGCUAGAAGAGACAGUUGGAUUGGUGUUUUGGACAUAGCCUACAUAUCAAUGAUACCAUUCACUUGCUCGGCACGUUUUUUUUACUUCUAUUCUCUCUCAUGGUCCGGUCCUUCACUCUUGUUGGUACAGUGUAGUAUAGCCAUUUAAGAUUGAAAUUUGACUCGUACGUUAAUAGAAAAAAAGGAACCUUGACAUGGUUAUUUCGAACUAUUGCAUUGUCAUGAUCAUGCGAAUUAUCACUCACUUAGGCCUUGUUUGAAUACACGUGCAUUUAUCUUAAUCUAUAUGUUGAAGUGGAUUGAAGUAGAAUUAAACUAUGUUUCAUUUCAAUUCACUCCAACACAUGUGAAUUGAAGUUGAUACAUAUGUAUUCAAAUAAGACCUUAGCUGAAUCAAAGGACGCGAGAGAGAUUUUGCCUCUCCACUCACCACCGCCUCGUACUUGCCAUUCUCUUUGUCGCCCGUUCGAUGCAUCGAUGAUGAGGCAAAAGGUAUAACCUCUUGCGAUCUCAAUAUAGCCACUCACCAAUUUGUUGAACUUGCUCCUGUCGUUGGCCUACUUGACGUGUGCUCUAGAGAUACAAGAGUCUCACAGCUGAGUUAUCGAAGAGCACGUCAAGCAGACCAAGGAUGAGAUCAAAUUCAACAAAGUGGUGAGUGGCAAAGAACAAGUGGGGGAAGGCAUGAACUUGGAUCUCAUCAUCAAUGCAUGGAAUAGAGAUGGGAAGGAUGCCAAGUACGAGGCGGAGUUGCACCUGAGGGAUUGGAUGGACAAACACACUUAUUCUUCAAACCACCUAACUGAGCGACAAUUUGCAUUUUUGUAUCAUCAUGCUACAUCAAGGUUACCGAACACCGAUUCACAUGAUCAUGUUACGUACAAUUAUUUGAAAUAAUUGCCUUUCAAAAAAAUAUUCAAAAUAAUUUGUAAGUGAUCAAAGGUGCUUUUUGUUCCAUGAUAUGUGUUGCCGCACAGAUGACAAAGGUCGUUUGGUUGAGUAAUGACUAAUGAUGUGGUCCUCUAUGCAAUAUUUUUUUGUUUGACACGUUAAGUGAAAUGGGUUGAUCCACAACCACAGCCAACAUCUCACCCUUUACAGACUAGUAUUUAGUAUAUCUCUCAUUACUAGAAUCCUCUUAGGCCCUGUUUGGCACGGCUUCUUUAGCGGCUUCAGGAGCCGUUUGGAGCCGUUUUGUGCCAAACGGGGUAAAAUAGAAUAGCUCCACUAAUGAAGUCUCUAAAAACAUGCUCUCACAGAGCUUUGGAGUAUGAAGGAGCCAAAAAUAGUGGCUUCUUACAGCUUCACCUCAUCCUAUGUGGCAUUAUGUGAGAGCACAUUUUAAGGAAAUAGCUAUUUUGCCAAACGGUUUACCAAAAUGGCUUCAGCUCCACUGAUAGAGCUGUUCAUGGAGCUGAAGCCCUAAAAAACAGCUUCACUGGUGAAGUGGAGCCGUGCCAAACAGGGCCUUAUUUCCGUCUUAGGUAAAGGCUUAGAUACGUUUUCCUAGGGUGGUUCGUUAGCAUUGCUGCCUAGGGAACGAUUUCACAGGGAAAUCAUAAGUGCCAUAGGGUGCCAUUCGAAAACCCUAAGAUAACUACCUUCACCUAUGUACAAGCAUAUAUAUCUAGUAAUAAUACAAUUGCGUCUCGUCUGGCCCCGCUUCUCUUCCCCUAUGUACUUUGAUCUAUACAUAAAAAAUAUCGAGUAUUAUCGCCGUACCGCUCCGCUCCCCUCCGCCUAUGGGGCAUAUAUCUAGUAAUAAUAUAAUUACGUCCCACCAAGGGCCUAUUUAAAUUCAUUAGAGCAUCUUCAAGGGUUUUGCAUUUGGACUUUAUAUUCUUAUAAUUUGCCAAAAAUCAUAAAAAAAAGUAUCCAAUGGUCUUGCAUUUGGAGUUUGCAUUUUAGACAACUUGGCAAAUAAGAGAGCAAACUUGGCAUAUAUGCCAAGCCGCACAUGGCUUGGCAAAAGGCCCAUUGCGCGCAUCUCCCGGUCCCCCACGCGACCUGGACUUUCUUCGCGCCAUAUAUCGCGAUCGCGAGCAACACCAUCGCCGCCGUACGCUACAGAACUCGCGAGGGACUCCAUCGCGACAGUCGGGCUGGCAUCGUGGCGGCACCUGCAACGAGUCGAGUCGCCGCGGCGGCACCUGCAUCGAGCGGUGGGGAGCAUGAAGAACUGGCGGCACGACCUGUGAGGAAAACGCGAGAACCGGCAGCGACUUUACGCGCGCAAAGAAAAGUCGCGCGGGAAGACGAUCGCGAGCGCGCGAAGGAAAAAAAAUCACGGUCGGGUCCACUUUGGCUAAUUGUCAACUCAAUUAUGCAAAACCCUUGGAGAUAGUCUAUUUUUAGACUUUGCAUUUUGUUUUGGAAGUUUGCAAACAACAACAAAUGUCAACUCAAUUAUGCAAAACCCUUGGAGAUGCUCUUAGCUGCUAAUAGUUAGCUAUCUAAUAGAUUAUAACUAUUAUUAGUUGCUAUUAGCUACUUUUUUUGAGGAUUUAGCUACUUUAGUUCAAUUAGUGAAAUAGUUGUUUAUUUAAGUAUUCAGCUAAUAAUUAUAACUAACCAAUUAGCUCAACCUAUUUGGAUCCAAGUAAUUAUUAGCAGCUAACUGCUCUUCAUCCGUUCUAAAUUAUAACUAUGCAUCUAAAUAUAAUAAUAUGUCUAGAUAUGUUGUAAAAUGAAUAGAAAAAUUAAAAUAACUUAUACCAGAUAGAUUAUAAUUUGGAACGAAGGAGUAUCUCCGGGAUCCAAACAACUCGUGCAUGUCCUUUCCUGUCGCGACUGGCGGGCCUUGCUUUUGCUGCACGGACGAGAGGUAGCCCAAAACAAACACGGGCGACGUCAAUUAUUUCUUUUUCUACGAUGAACAAAUAAAAUCCCUCCGCACUUUUAUUUAUUAUAAAUGUAAAUAUAUUUCAGAAAUCAAUAAAAAAUAAUUCUUUCAAAUCUUGUUCAUUUACAUUCACUAAUCAUUUGUACAAUUGUACUCUUGGUAGUAUGGUGUUUCUACUUUACUGACCUUGCAUGGUUGGGAUAAAUCAUAUUAUUCAUGUUCAGUAUGUAGUAUAUUGCAUUUACGAUUCCAAUUUCUCGUUCAGAUUAUUUCCAGUGAUGUUUAUUAUAUUUGUGGUAAUUAUUAAGUAUUUAUAUCUGUUCAAUUAACAUGAAAUUUAGGCAACCUUGUCCAAGUUUUGUUUUGAAUUUUAAAAAUUAUUUUACAAUUUUUUCUUACUUGGUGUCCAAGCUAGAACGGUUGAUGUGUAAAAAAUUCAAAAUACUAGCUCUGCUUUAUUGUCUGAAUUCAUGAACUAUGUUUUCUUGAUUGAAAUUACCUUUAUUGACUAGCUUUACAGCUUUAAUUUGUACACCCAAUUUUAAAAUCGUGCGUCUGCCACUGCUACAGACCUGUUGUUGGGGAAGGGUACGUCGAAUUAGGAGAGCCACAGUGAAAAAAACUACUAGAAGAGAAGAAAGGCACACAAGAUGGUUAUGAGCUAUAGUUGUACUUGAGGCGUGGUUCAGUCUUAAAGAUUAACUCGAUAAAGUACUUGUAUUUGUAUAUUCUUUCCACUAUCACAUGUAACCUCACGGUAAGCUGACUUGAGUUGUGACAGUCAUACAUGUAUAUACUAUCUUGUAACUUGAUCAUGUGAUUUAAGCUAGUGGAGUGCAUAUGAAAUGUGCCUCCAGGGAUUACCGGGUUAAUUCACUUAUACUGAGUUAGUCAAAAGGAUCGAUGAAACCAACUCAGUAUUAGAAAUUGCACACAGGCCAAAUCGCUUCAGGCAUUUAUGAUCAAAUACAGUGUUUUAUCAUCAACAAUUCAAGGGUGUUUGUUUGUGUGUUCAUUAAAAAAGUGUGGAUUUUUGUACACAAGCGCGCGUACGCGGGGAAUACUAGCAGUGCGAAAUCCCACAUGAUUUCGUAUCCCUAUUAUUUUCUCAACUGUUUUGAACAAUAGGAAAAUGAACCUUCUGCGUAGACUAUUAUGCUUCAAUCAAAAUAACGACAAGAAGUGUAAAUGUUGAUGACAAAACGUGCGACUAUUCACAUCUGACGCAUUAGAUCAUCAUUAGAUGCUUAUAGGGGCACGUCCCAAUUCCAGAUAAACCAGAAUAAGGAAUGGACGAUCCAAACGGUGGUAUAUACUCCCUCCAUACUCGAAAUUCUUGACGUUUAGGACAUGAUUAAACAGAGGUAGUUUUCCCUGGUUGCCCUUAUUAAAUAGGAUUCGCAUACCUGCUAUACAACGAGGCAUUAACAGUUGUGUUGGUUCGGUCGUUGGGUGCUAAGGCCAGCAAGCGCAGUUCAAAUCCUCACUUGUGCAAGUUUUUUUUUUCGACUCUAGUUUUGCACAAAAAAAGACUACUGAAAAUAUUUAAUAUACAACAUGUGUUUUACAAUUUCUACUGAGUAGUUAUAUUUGAUUUAGUUCUAAGAAAAAUUGUUUCAUCAUUUUUUUGAUUUUCUAGGAUUUAUUACGCAAAUUUGAAGUCUCUGCAGUUUUGAUGAGUUUUACACGAAGCAGAGAAGCUAACAAGCACUUUGCAUCAGAAACCCUAAACUAUUUCUUAAUCAAUCUAAUUGUUUUUUAUUUUUCUUUCUCUCUAGUACUUUUUCAAUUGGAACCCUCUCUUUUUAUCUAUUGUUGCAAGCUGCUCCUGUCCUCAGUUCACGAAUGGAGAUAACCGUACCGAAGUUCAGCUCGAAGUGCGGCCUCUCGAUUCUCGUCUUCAACUCCGGUAGCAAACAAGUGAGGGAGUCCAGCGGCAUCUCGAUAGAUUUCAGUGUAAUCUCUGACUACAACACCAUGACCAAGUGCAUCUCGACGGAUUCCAGUGCGACCUCUGAGUCCAGCGCCUCGGCCAUUCUGAGGGCGGCGAGGAACGGCGGCGCGACCUCAGAACGAACCAGCGGCGAUGAAGGGCGGCGAGGAAGGCAGUGCGACGCGCUAAUGCUGGACGAGUGAACGGGCCAUGAAGGAAACGAAGCGGCGAUGAAAGACCAUUAAUGCUGCGCGGCGUGCGCGAUUAAUGAAGGCAGCCGAACGGACUCAGGGGUAAAGACGUCCACAGACGGGGUUACACGGCCAGAACGUCAACAUUUACGAAAACGUUCGAGACUCCUAAAACGACAACAAUUUCGAGUAUGGAGGGAGUAUACUACUACUGCAUUCCUGCUUAAUUAAUUCGAUUUUGAAAAAAGUUCGACAGAUGCAUAUAAGACACGAAGAUGUCAAGAUGAUACGGCAUGACUAUAGCGAGUCCUGACGGUACAUACGCAAAUUAAACCCCCGGCCCAUCAGUCUAUCACGCACCGAUCGCGACCCAUCCGCCGCCAAUCAUGACCGGGAAGAACUCGAUCUCAUCACCAUCAUUGAGAUCGAGCUCCGCCGGCGUGUUGCAGCCCCGCAGCCGGACGGAGCCAUCGAACAUGAAGGUCCCGGAGCCGUAGGUCACCUCGCCGGCCGCCUUCUUGUAGUAGGCAUCCAUGACGCCCUGCACUUUGUCGCUCAUCCUCAUGGUGUGGAAGGCCCUGCGACCUUCCUGGUCAAGCACCUUGAGCGUGAUCAAGGGAUCGUCCUCCGGCUCCGUCUUGACGCUCCCCUGCCUCCUGCCCUCCUCUACCGGCGGCGACAUACUCCGGCGGUGAGAGUGGUUAGUAUACGGCGGCUUUUUAUAGCUUCUCACGCGGAUCGGUCAGUCCAAUAAUAAAAAUGGACAAUUCUCGAUCUCCUCGAAACGACGGAGAGCGUGCGUCAUUGGAAUUUGUUUAGCUGCUCGGAAAUUAUUGUAGGCGCAGACUACGAAAAGGUCAAAAUGGCUAGUUGGCUAUAUCCGUCAGAAUUUUUCGAUCGUUGCGAUCAUGCAAACGAGGAUUUCCUUUCCCAUUUUCUUCCCGACGGUUGCCACGCGCAUGGGGGGUUCCCAAUCUGCAUGGAUAGUACAUUCGCCAAAAAAAAAAAAAAAAAUCCUUUUCCGUUGCGCCUUUUCCUUCCCAUUCGUCGCGCUGGUGGAGCUUUAAUCCCGCCUAUCUCUCUAUCGAUAAUUCGAAAUGCAAGAGCAGACUGUUCGGUUUCCAUCCGAGAUAAUCUAACCUUGAUUUUAUAGUUUUUUAAGAAAACCUUGGUUUAUAGGCCUUGUUUCGUUACCUGUUAUAAACUUUAGUUUCUAUCAUAUCGACUGUUUAGAUAUAUGUAUAAAGUAUUAAAUAUAAACUAUUUUACAAGACCAAAAACACAGUUAGAGACCAAAAUUACAAGACGAUUUUUAAGUCUAAUUAGUAUAUAAUUAAUUAAACAUUAAUUGUUAUAGUUACAAAUGUGUUACAGUAUCUAUUAAAUUUUAAUACCUCUAAACAAACAUCCCGACAGUAUGAGGCAUCUGGAGCACCUACAGCUACAGUGUGAACAUCAUUGGUUUUUGGUUGUGACGUCCACCAUCUGCAUAUGUGUGUCCUCAUGCUCAUGCCUCACCAAAUAUUUUAUGACGCACAGCAACUGAACCGUGUUUAAAGUCCAAUUUUGAUUUCUGACGCUAUGGUUCGCAACUUCGCAUGCUCGAGUAUACGUGGUUUCGUUUUCGACCUCGCUCUCUACACCGGAGAUGCUGCCCCGGCCGGUCACCAACUUCACGUGCUCCGACGCCACGACACAGUGACAUUGUACAUCUCGGCUCCUCGGACACACCUUCGUUACCCUCCGAGUCAGUUUGCGGACGUCGGCGUGUUUGUCGAAGACCACCACAAACGACGUGUGUAGAGGCUGGCGGGGCGGCCGGCCGGCGAGCGAGCGCCCUCGUGCAAUUGACGAAGUCCGGCAUGAACAGGUUAUUAGCUCGGUCCUUAUGUUUGAGUUGCUGCCCAAGCCCAACUAGCCUAGGCUGCUAAUGAGCAAGUACUCCCUCCAUAUCAGAAUUAGAUGACGUUUAGGACAUGAUUGUACUUACCAAGGAGUCAUUAAUUAGAGGCUAAUCUUCCAGUUCUGCCCUUAUUAAAUGGAACCGAAGGUGUUUCCUAGACAUGAAAGAUUCUCUUCUCUAUUGGUUACUGGGGCUGGUUUCAAGGCACACAUGAGGCGAGGGCAAGGGUUCGAACCUUGUGGCUUGCGCUUUUGUUCUCUUGGAUGUCACAUUUUGCAUGGUGCUGGAAUUUGCGUUUUUUCCCUGUUGGCGCGAUUUGCAGGCCAGUGUUUGUUUUUUUUAUUCAUCCUUCAUCGGUUCUUAUUUUUUCCCCUUUUUUGCACAGGUUUUGACUUGAACUUGCCAUUAGAUGAGUAUGGUGCGGUGGAUCUCAACUUCUUACAAGGAAACAUUCAUGGUAAGCAUAUUUUUUCCCUAUAUUUAGAUCAUGACGUGGAGUAGCAUGCAGUCCCAAAUGUUUUUUAUUUCCUAUAUUUAGAACAUGGCGUGGAGUAGCAUGGGUCUGUUGCUGCUUGCAUGCGUGGGUCUGUUGCUGCUUGCAUGCGUGGGUCUGUUGCUGCUUGCAUGCUUGCGUCCGUUGGGAGCAGGGACCGAGACGUCGUCUUGAAUGCGAGCAUGCGGCUGCAGCGGAACAGACGGACGGAUGCGACAACAGACCCAAGGGGUAUUCGCGUCAAGUUUAGUGUGUUUAAUCCAGAACGUCAACCUUUAAGAAAAUGGCAUGGGUGCCCAAAACGUCACCUAAUUGAGGUAUGGAGGGAGUAGGGUGGAUGGCAACCUGGAAAUUUUGCCAGUCCACAAAGCCAGGUGUUGAAAACUACGAUAUUUUUGCUUGCUCGUUUGAUGAUAUACUCAACAAUUCAUCAUCGAGCUUCGCUUAUAAUUCUAUACUAGUUCUAGUUCCACAACGAAAGCGACAACAGUAACACAAUAGGAAAAGGAAAACACUACAUUGUCUUCCUUAAAAAAAAUCACAAAAGUCAUAUUUUUCUAUCCAAACCAGAAAACUGGACAUAACUUCUCAUUUAUUUUUUAAACCGGGCAUAUCACCUCCCUAGCUAUUUCUCUAGGUGGUUUCUUUCUUUUUUCUUUUAUAUUUAUUUUGGAUGAUUUUUUUUAAAAAUAUAUAUAAAAUAAAAAACUAAUUUUAUUGGACUCCACAUGACUAGAUCUACAUAGUAAGUAUAUUAAAAAUCUAGCUUUUUACUAAAACAUAUCAAUGUUUAUUGUGUAGAUAUACUUAUGUAGAGUCUAACAAAAACUUCAUGCUUAUGUAUGACUCUGUUAUAGAUCUAAUUCCAUUUAAAAACUAUUUAACAAACGUAAACCUCUACAACUCAAUCACGCAUUAUUCAAUGAGCGUAAAAUUUUUACUACAACUCAAGCAUACAAUGAUUACCUCACCAUAUAAAAACACCACAAUUGGAUGAGAGAAAUAACAGCUAUGAAUUAAUUAUAAAAAAUACAAAUAUAAAGUUACAACAAAAACUUUACACUAAAGCAUAUGUAUUAUAUAUUUACUAUGUAGAACUAGGGAGCGUAUGCUAUAAAAACCAACUAGAUAUGCAAACUAUGCAAACUCUAAUUAAGCGCACACGAUUCUAAUCCGAUAGGUUCUGGUGGAGGUGGGACAAUUAAGCACUUAAAUCCUUCUACCAAUCCAAUCUUUUUUUUUCAACUCACCGAGGCAGCGAUCGCUAACGUGACUCAGUCAGGAAACCGUAUUUGUUUUUCUUCUAAACCAACGUUGUUUCCAACUUUCCUGUCCACGUCCUUUUCCUAUUUCUUUUGUUUUUGUUUUGUUCGUUUGUUCAUCCCGACGUUCAGUUGUGUACGUGACUUUUGACUUUUUCUCUCUCUCAUACUUAAUUUUGUAAAAAACAGUAAAUAUAUCAUGGGUGUUCAAACUCUUUAUCCUUAUGUGAUAAACCAAUUCGUUGAUAACUAAAAUCUUGAAUAACUUAUCAUCCAUCUAAUCUAUAUCUAUAUAACUAUGUUCAAAUCUUCUUUUUUAUCUCCCAUUUUUUCUUAUAAAUUGAAAAAAAUAAAUAAAAUGGCCAUCAAUGUUUACGUUCAAACAUACCAGGGAAGAAUCGGUCUCAAUGGUGACUGAUGUGCAUGGCACUGUGCCGGUUGUGAUUGAUGAAACUUGCUGCUGCCUGAGGACGGCGGCGGCGGCGUCGUACAGGAGGCGAACGGAGCGAUCGUUGUCUGGGUGAGUUGAAAAAAAUAAAAUUGAAUUGGUGGGAGGGUUUAAGUGCUUAAUUGUCCCACCUCCACUAGAAGUCAUCGGAUUAGAAUCGUGUGUGCUUAAUUAGAGUUUGCAUAGUUUACAUAUACGCUCCCAUAGAACUAAUAAUGUAGAGCCAAUACAAUUAGAUUUUUCUAUUUUAUGAUUUUUCAAAGAUUCAACCAAAAUAAAUAUAAAAGAAAAAUCACCAACGGAAACAGCCAUAGAGAUAAAGUUACCCGUUUUAAGAGAUGAGGACGAACUAUGUCUAGUUUUAGAGUUAAGGAAAAAAAAACUGACUUUCGUGAUAGUUUAUGGAGACAAAAUGAACUUUUUUCCGCUUCCUCACAGCAAUUUCUAAGUUGGGACAGAAAAGAUUUUGGCCCAAAUUCAACAGGGGCAGCUUGCGCCAUAAAAAGCACACAGGCACAUGACGCUUGAUUGGGCCACGUCGAUGAUUGAUGAUUUUGCUUGUUGCUCAAUCGAUCGAUCUGCAUACCAGAAGCAAGGAAAGCCAAGCCUCUCCGCCGCCGCGGCGCCACCGCGAUGUGGUUCAACUCCCGCAGCGAACCCAACGCCGACGCCGAUCCCCGACCUCAAGGUUCCUGUAACCGAGCCCUAGCCUCUGCCAUCACAGCCGCCACUUCAUCCUCCUCGUGCGACCUCGGCAGCGGAUGGGGCUCCAGAGGCGGCGGCGGCGGCUUCCUGUCGUGGAUCUUCUCCGCGGGCGUGGCGCGCGCCCACGAGCACGAAGGGAAGCCGCAGGCCGGGGACUGGGACGCGCACGGGCUCCCGGUCACCCGCACGCCAGUAACGCUCUCCAGGCUCGACGGGAGGAAGAGGUACAAGGUAUCCGAGCUCAACUUCCUCGACCGCCGCGCCCGCACCACCGAGGCCAGCGCCGGAGAGAAAGAGAAGACGUCGACCCCCUUGUUCGACGACAUGACCACGCUUCGGUCUGGCGGCGUGUACACCCGGUUGCAGCUGCACGAUGAGCUCCAGACGAUGACGUCUUCCGGCAUGUUCGAGCAGGUCAGCCUCCAGGGCAAGCCCAAGCCGGACGGCACUCUCGCGCUCACCGUCACCUACGCCGAGAGCGUCUGGCCUGGAGCCGUCAAACGGCUCAAGUUCGUCAACGUGGGGCUCAUGCCGCCGCUUGGCGACGGACCUGACGACGACAUGACGGCAAGGGAGAAGAUGGACUACUUCCGCAGGCAGGAGCGCGACUACAAGCAGCGCGUCCGCCGCGCCAAACAGUGCAUACUGCCGCAGUCGGUGCGUCAGGAGGUGCUGGGGAUGGUGAAGAAGCAGGGGAAGUUGACCGCCGGGCUGCUACGGAGGAUCAGGGACCACGUCGAGAAGUGGUACCACGACGAGGGCUUUGUGUUCGCCCAGGUGCAGAACUUCGGCAACCUCGACUCGGACGAGAUUGUGCUCGAGGUGGCAGAGGGGGACAUUACCAAGGUGGAGUACCAGUUUCACGACAAGCUCGACAAUAUCAUAGAGGGAAACACUAGCAUUGCCAUCAUUGACCGGGAGCUGCCCCAGCAGGUAUAUACAGUACAGUAUAAGUUAUUUUGCUUACACUAUUACCUCCAUGGUUAUUGGUUAAUUAGAAUGUCUCAUUGCAGAUGGUUGUGAAUCUAUGGUUUUUCGUUUAAUGCGCCAUGAAUUGAUUGGUUGACAUAUUCGAUUAUGAUCCUCCAAAACAUUUUAUUGCACACCAACAAAGUUUGACUUGUGCCUUUCUUAUUUCUAUGAACAGCUUGGUCCUGGCCACAUCUAUAACCUAGGGGCGGGGAAACAAGCUCUACAGAGCAUCAAUUCACUGUCUUUGUUCUCAAAUAUAGAAUUGACUCCUCGCCCUGAUGAGACGAAACAAGGGGGUAUAGUGGUUAACAUCAAACUCAAGGAGCAUGAACCAAAAUCAGCACAAGUAACAACAGAGUGGAGCAUAGUGCCUGGACAUCAAGGACUGCCAACUCUGGUUGUGUACAAUUUAUCUUUGUCUGCAGAAUCGUUACUUAAUACUCUGUACAACAUUAUGAAUAUAAACCACGUAUCAUUUUAAGUCCUCUGAGGUCUGACAUAACCUCAUAUCUCGUGGAUACUUUCUGUUAGGCAUCCAUUCAACCUGGAGGGACUGUUUCGUUUGAGCACCGCAACAUCUCUGGUUUAAACAGAUCUCUAGUUGGUUCUGUUACAUCCAACAACUUGCUCAACCCUCAGGUGAGUUGGUAGUGGGGUUUUCCUUCUUUUUUUCUUUGAUGUGUGUUGCUUUGGGUUUAUUGUUACAUCUAUUAUUUGCUGCAACCUACUUAUAUUUAAUUACUUGAGUGUAAUGUGUAUGUUAUAACUGUCUCUGUCUAGUGUGUACACACAUUUAUAAAUUGCAUAAUGUUCAACUCAUACUUUAAUUAACAUCCGUGCUAUGUGUGUGUAUGUUUAACUUAGUUGAAUAUAUCUUAUGUGUUGCAAAAUAAAACAGCAAUUAGUAUCAAUUUUCAUUGUACUACAAUCUGAAAGAAGCAAUUAUAUACUCCCUCAAUCCCAAAUUAUAAGGCAUUCCAAGAAUUUUGGAGAGUCAAAGCGUUUAAUCAAAUUUAUAUGAUAAGAUAAAAACAUUUAUAAUAUUAACUAAGUAUCAUUAGGUUCUUCAUUAGCUAUAUUUUCAUAUUAUACCUAUUGGAUGUCAUAAAUCUUUAAAAUUUUUUCUAUAAUUUUAGUAAAAUUUAAGAUAUUUUGACUCUCCAAAAUUCUUGGAAUGUCUUGUAAUUUGGGAUGGAGGGAGUACCAUGUUUCACAACAAAAGAAAAUUUAUUGGAGAAAUUUUGCUCGCAUGGUUUUCAAGGCAUGUUUGAAUUUUUGUUUCAUAAUCAGGAAACAUCAGCUAGAUUCAUAUAUUUCUACGGGUUUCUUCCAAUUCGUCUUUACUCUUUAAUAAGAUAGCUGAGCAUACUCCAUUCUUGAGAUGAAUCUCUUUAGUUUUUUGGCCUGGUACCUAGCCACUUACACACUCUUGUGAUGACAUUCAAUGCACAUGCACUCAUCCAUGUUCCUUUGUGGGGGGUAUUAGGGUGAUCUGUCGUUCAGGCUUGAGUAUGCACAUCCAUAUCUGGAUGGUGUGGAGAACCGCAGUAGAAACCGCACCUUCAAAGCUAGCUGCUUCAACAGCAAGAAAUUAAGCCCUGUCUUCGUUGCUGGUCCCAACAUGGAUGAAGCUCCACCUAUCUGGAUCGACAGAGUUGGAUUUAAAGCCAAUAUAACAGAGGUUUGCAUAGAUUGUUAUUACCUUCUAGAUAUUUUGAUUUAGAUUAACAGCUAUUUCAAGAUACAUGAGGAAGCUGUUUGGAUUCUCAGAACCUCACAAGGCAGAGCAAAUUCACAUAUGGGCUCGUGGUGGAAGAGAUUACAACACGCGAUGAAGAUAACAACAUAUGUACACAUGGUGCUCGAGUAUUGCCUGGUGGCGCCUUGAGCAUGGAUGGACCUCCGACAACCUUCAGUGGUACUGGUGUUGAUCGAAUGGCAUUUCUACAAGCUAAUAUAACUCGAGACAAUACAGAGUUCGUAAAUGGUGCAACAAUCGGAAACAGAUGUAUAUUCCAGGUGUGCUAAUAUUCCAUUUUUUUGUCUGAUUUUCAUAGCAUAAUUAGUGUUCAAUUAUUCCUGUGUGUUUUGAAUCAAAUAAAACUCAGUACCUCACUGGCUCACUGUGUGUAAAAUGACAAAGGAAGAAUGGGAGACUCUUUACAUAAUUGUUUUUGUUUUUCGCUUUGAUAUUUGUUUUCAUUUGGGACUGGUGCAGAGUUUAUAAUAUUGAAUACUCAGGCACAUUUUAACAAAUGUUGUCACUAUAAUCGCUUUAGUAUAUGUUUUGGGCAAAGGAAAGUUUGCCUUUUCUAGCUUAUAUGUUACAAAAAAAAAAUCUCUGGAGAACCGGAUCAAUGGCGCAAUGGUAGCGCGUCUGAACCGGAUCCAUGGCGCAAUGGUAGCGCGUCAAUCCAGAUCAGAAAGUUGCUAAAAAUGUGCACCAUGUUAAAAAAAAACUGAUCACUGGAGAGUGCUCACGGUGCGCAGGUUGCUGUUUUGUAGUAGUCUGGGUCUGCUGGGGAGUGCCUAAACUCUAGUGCUCUUAUUUUCUUCUUGUGUUUGUGUUUUUUUCUUCAGCUGUGUUUGGCUUCGGUGGGCUCUUGGUUAGCUUUGGCUGACCACGGCUUGUGUUGAUCACUUUGUUGCUUCUCUUGCAUUGCUUCCUGCUUAAUGAAAUACGUGACUUGCACGAUCUAAAAAAAACAAUACCCUCGAUUCACGUUGGGUUCAAAGCCCCGAUCCCAGUCUGUAUUUUUUUUAAAAAAAAAAUGAUAUCUGGAAUAAUUCAAUAGCACCAUGUGUAGUAAUUUUCUUGUUGGUUUGCAGUUGGACCAAGGUCUCGGCAUCGGAAGCAAAAAACCAUUCUUCAACCGUCAUCAGCUCACGGUGACAAAGUUCAUUAAUCUGAAUAAGCUUCUGAAUAAGCAAAAGAAAGGUGCUGGGAAGCCACCACCAGCUGUUUUGAAUCAGCAAGAGAAAGGUGGUGGGAAACCACCACCAGCUGUUUUGAGUAAGCAAGAGAAAGGUGCUGGGAAGCCACCACCGGCUGUUUUGGCACUCCACGGUCGUUACGCAGGCUGUGUUGGAGAUCUGCCGAGCUACGAUGCAUUUGCACUUGGCGGACCUCACUCCGUUAGGGGCUACGGCAUGGGGGAACUGGGUGCUUCCAGAAAUCUUCUUGAGGCGAGUAUCAAUCCUCUUGGGGAUUUGGCGUUCCUGAAAUAUGACGCAUCAUUUUUCAUCUCUGUUCAUGCCAUAGUCUUGGGAGUUUUUGUUUUGCUUUUCUUCGGAUUUGUUUUCAAAAUUGUAUGUCCGUGCAGGUUGCCGCUGAGGUGCGCGUCCCCAUCACUGUGAAGAACAGACAAGCACAGGUGUACGCAUUUGCCGAGCAUGGCACUGACCUUGGGAGCUCCAAGGACGUGAAGGGGAACCCUACAGAGUUCUUCAGACGCGCCGGCCAUGGGUCUUCCUAUGGCGUUGGUGUCAAGCUUGGUGCUGUAAGGGCGGAGUACGCUGUAGAUCACAAUGCUGGCACGGGAGCCUUCUUCUUGAGAUUUGGCGAGAGGUUUUGAAUGGAGUGGAGAUCUGUCACUGGAAAAAAAAAUUUCCUGUUAUAUAAUUUUUUUUGAAUGAAUUCCUGUUAUAUAAUAAUGUAGGAGUAACAGAAAGGAGAUUUGUCACUGAAUCUUGUAUCCGCAAUGCCUGCGAUGUGAAUAUAUAUACGCGGAAGACAGACUCUCUUUUUAUGAAAAGACGCUUUGUUAAUUCUCUUCCUCUGUGGAAGAUAGAUUCGAUGGUAUUCUCCAGUGAAGUUUUUUGUUUCUGUGAUAAAGUCAGUUAAUUUACUGAAAAACGUGGAGCUGGAGAUGUGAAUCAAGGUUCAGAAGUGUUUGCUCGAUAUGUCCAGCUACGUUUGUUUUUUCGGCGGCGGAACUUCUGCAGCUAUGUGCUAUCACAGCCCAGCGAAAGCGGCUAGAUUUUUAGGUACUUAGCCAUGCGGCCCAUUCCAGGCUUCCAGCCCAACGGACAACGGCGACGCAUAGUUGAUCAGAAUUCAGAAGUUCAGAACCUCAAGGAUGGACAGACCGUCGCUUCGGUGCACGCGUAGUUACUGCUGCGCACCAAAAAAAAAAAAAAAAAAAACGCGACUCAGACAGACUAUUCCUCCGUGCCAAAGGUGAACGCGACAUCCAGGCACGACGCCACACCCGUUCGACGACGACCUCAUCGGCGAUGAUGCGAUCGGGCGCGCGCGGCGGCGAGGAGGAGGAGGACCGGAAGCCGGUGAUCAAGCCGGGCGUGCACGUGACGAUCAAGGUGCAGGACACGGAGGGGCGC